RNAcentral lists this long non-coding RNA (54933 nucleotides) under Malus domestica (apple). RNAcentral describes it as "long non-coding RNA (MDOM_LNC011787)". The record is from RNAcentral. Lineage: Eukaryota; Viridiplantae; Streptophyta; Magnoliopsida; Rosales; Rosaceae.
GGUGGUGGCGGUGAGUGACAUUGGCUUGUAAUUUUGGGCUCUCUCCAGAGGUUACUUACCGGAUAACAUGGGCUGCGGUGGCUCCAAGGUCGAUGGCUUGCCGUUAGUCACGCUUUGCAGGGAGCGAAAUGACUUCAUCAAAAAAACGUUGGACCAGCGCUACACUCUUACCGCAGACCACCUCUCUCUCUGCUUUGUGUGUAUCGUUUCUCUCUCUAGAGAGUAGAGAGAUGGUGGAGUUUUGAGAGUUAUCCUGAUGUGGUGGAAGAACAAAGAACGUGCACUGAGGUUUUGAGAUCUUGGGUUUUUGUAGAUUCACGGUGGAGGUGAAAAAAUGAAAGAGAACCGACAUAGUUUUUCGUGUCGAUUCCCACAGACGGCGCCAAAUGUUGAUGCACAAAACCGGAGGUCUUGGAACAACGUAAAUCCGACCGUGAAUCUGUAAGAAAGUAAAUAACACAAGAUGUAUCGUGGUUCACCCCAAGGUUUGGGCUACGUCCACACUGAUUAUUGUAUUUCUCUGAGAGAUGAGGGGAGUGAGGGAGAGAGCUUCUGAGAGUGAGAGAACUCUUCCCAUGGCUUAAGAAAAUGGCAUCCUCUAAUUGUGAGGGUGAUGAGUCCUUUUAUAGAAUAAGGGCUCCUCACUUAUUAUAUUUGCCCCUUCUUUUAUUACAUAAUUACAUUUGAGUCACCCGAGUAUUUAUACGAGGUCUAAAUACGGAAGCCCUAAGUAUGGUAUAAACAACCUAGUAUACAAGUUUUGGAGAGAAUUUUUCAAUGUGCUCAAAACAUGGGAUAAUACAUCACGUGUCACUGUACAAGUAGUGAGAUAUUUGUGUAAUAACUCAAAAAAUAGAACUUUUCUCCACUUAUAUAAUAACACGUGGUGUACCACUCGUGAAAUUGGUACCAAGUGGAAUACCCUACAAUAAAAAUUUAGAAGCAACUAUACUAACUAGUCAGAUGAACUAUUCAACUAAGUACAGGUUGUUAGAUAUCCACAAGCAUAUAAACCAAGUAAACUGAUACUGUUAAAGCAAGACAAAUGAUCUCCAUUUAUUGUUGUAGCUUUUGUUCUUGAGUUAAGUUUACUUAGUUAACAAAGUGUUAAUACUAGCACACCCUACAAAGUUUAUCUCUAACAACGAUUAUUUGGACAUAAAGGUAACUUUGCAAAGUAUUGACACACAAGAAAGUUUUUGGCCAGAAAAAACCCACCUAUGGGUAGAAAACCGGGGACUCUUCACUGAGUCCAAUCCACUAGUGUAAACAAGGUUCAUACAAAGACCACACAAACUCUGUUGAUGCACAAAAUCGACGAGGACUUUGGUACAACAGAAAGUGUCAAGUUUGUGGCCUUCGCUAGGUUGCUCCGGUCACUAGUGUGGAUAAGUAUGUAAAUGGAUAAAGACAGGGAAGCAAACACAAGAUGUAUGUGGUUCACCCAGAUUGGUUACGUCCACAGAGUAGAAAAGCUCUCAUUAAUUGUGAAGGGUUUACAUAAGUACAUAGGUUCAAGCUCUCUUUUAGUGAGUACUAGUGAAUGAUUUAGUACUAAUGACAUUAUGAAAUAUUGUGGAAGAAUGAUCUCCUUUUAUAGAAGAGAGUUUCUAGCUUUGUUCUGACAUUGACACGUGUCGUGUUGUGAUUGGCUUCUGAUGUUGACACGUGUCGCGCUAUGAUUAGCUUCUGAUGUCGACACGUGUCGCGCUGUGAUUGGCCUCUUGGUUGGAGGGAAACUCUUCUGGGUCCUUGACGGUAUAACGUUGACCGGUGCUCGGUAGUUUCGGGAUUGGUCAAGUAUGGUACAAACAAACUUAAUUCUUAGAUCCCUAUCUAUAAAACAACUUUACCUUUGUGCAACCUUGCCUUACACGAGACAGAUUCAUUCGAUCUUCACAAAGUGUCAGCUUCUCCUGAGCUCAUCACUUUGUGGCUUCGAGAUCAACACGAUCAAUGAAAUGAUGUGAUGUUAUGAUGUGCUCAUGAAAUAAGGAUUCAAUGACUAGUCAGGUUCUAUAGUCAAACAGUUAAAGAAUAACCUAACAUGAAUCUGAAUGCUUAGUCUAAGAAAGAUAUGAAACAUUGAACAUUAGACUAAGAACUUAAUGCAAAACCAUGAAUACAAUGCAACCCUAAUAUGCAAUGAUUGGGUAUUUGUGCAUGAGAUGGUUUUGUGACUAAAGUUUCAGUUUGGAAGCUUAAGAAGUAGCUCUAGGCUAAAUGCAUUCUUUUAUUGAACAUGUGAAAAUCCUAACCAAAUAACAAAUAAGACCUUGGAAACCCUUUUAAUGGAAGCUGGAUGUUUUAAACUCGAGGGACAACGAGACACAUGUCAUAAGCCAAAGAGACCUUCCCAGAUCAAGGGUGAGAGAUCCAUGCACGGAAGGUGUCAGUUGGCCCAUAUGGGCUUUCUUAAUUUGCGUGCCAAACAGCUGCAAAACAAACGAAAAUUCUGACUAGACAACUACACUAGACGAAAGGAAUCUGGAAAAAUAAGUUUGACAUGCAUAUGCAAAUGUAUGUGUUGACCCUAAAAACUACCAAACCUACAUGGCAUGCAGGUCGAGUAAUCAAUAAGCUAACUACGACGUCAUUCGGUUGUGUGUAGGGAGUGCUAACUCGUCUGCCGAGCUCGGCCGGGGAGUAAAAUGUGUUGAUGUCGUGUUGGGCGCGCUGCUGACUUCUUGAUCUUGCAAUUGCGACCGAGGAAUGAACACGUCUUGGCCUUCGGGUUCUAGAGCCUGAAAACAAGGCUGCUAGUUCUACGAAGUUCAAUAUUAAAUUCAGCUUUUAAUGUGCCGAAUGUAGUAACUUGUAACAUCUCACUUCGUCGAGAAGGCUAAUGAGAUGACCUCUACCAAUAAGGACUCGAAAAUCCUUCUCUACCGAGACUUGGAUAGAUAACCAGUCGGCCUCGAUGUAGUACUAUUUAUCCAAACUGAAGGUGUUAUGCGGUCAGCAGAUUCUACGGUAACAGUGCUAUUUAUCCAAAUUGAAGAUGUUCACCGAUUGCCUUCACAUUGCUGUUUAUGAAGAUGUGUUGGCGGAAAAGGAAAAUAAAAAAUAUCAAGGUUAUUGAGAGGUUUCGCGUAGAGCGAGAGUUUGCACAGGGCAGUUUGUGUGUUGAAUUUGAGAGAGCCUCGAAUGAUGCACAAUGUUUUGUAUUUAUAGCAACGAACCUGCUUCUGGCCGAACUAGAGAUAUACUCGGAUUAGGACUCCUCAACCCAAUCCGAUUAAACUUCGACCAAUCCUAAUCUCAAUAGGAUUCUAAACCAAACCUUCAAACAAUCCAAGUUCAUCUCCUAAUCCCAAGUACUUUAGCUUUGAGACUCUUUAUUAUACCAGGAUUCGACUACUUCACCUUUAUUCAAAAUAAUCCUCUUUGUAGCAGGAUUCGGCCAACCUUGAUAGGACUGACCCAUGACAAGACUUUAAAUAAACACCAUUGGGCCGAGAAUUACUCUGGGCUCGGCCCAAAGUAACAUUUUGGAUCCAAACAGUAUGAUACAAACCCUUUUGUAGUGAAGAUGACCGGUGCUUUGACAGGAUCAAUCCCCAGUAGUAAUUCCAGAUUAGCAUUGCACUCUAACUCUAAACUAUGAACAUGUAUGGUAGCAAUUAUAAGAUUUAACAAGGGAAGCCAAACAAUAAACCUAAGACUUAACAACCCGUAUUCCAUGCACAAUAAAUCAAUUUCUCCUAGUUUUAGGGUAUAUUAAUAAAUAAAAAGUUUAUUUGAGUAGAAUGACAAUGCAUGCGACAUACUAAAAACGAGAAAAAUCGUAGACGAAGCCUUCCACGCGUUAAAUAUGCAUAUGAAUUUUCUUCUUCCUUGUGUGGGAACACAUGUACAUGAAAUCUGAUCAUAAAAGGUCACGUAAUUGGGGUUUAUUUUUCUAUUUAUCUUUAUUAAAAUCCAAUUUAAAGAAUUAUGAAUUCUUCUUAUUAAACUAGGUAGCGUUUAUUGGCAAUCUUUUUAUUUUUUUUUUUAAUUUUUAAUGAAUUAAAAUAGAUUCAAGUAUUUGUUUAAUUUUAUUAUAUAGGUAAUCUUAGGAAUGACACUUGGAUUUUUUCUAAAAAGACAAGAAUGCCUCAUUAAAUAGGCAUGACUUACAAAUAUUCCCUCGCGCAUGAGUUUAAUAUUGGAGGCUUGAGCAACAAAUUACGACACCACCAAACUUUCUGUCCUAGUAAGAGAGAAAAGUCAAAGGCAUUAAAUAUAAGAAUUGUAUCUUUAAUACUCUCUUAAUUGAAGACCAACCAACACAAGUGAGGAAUCCUCACCACACUCAAUCAUACUACCAUCAUCAUCCGAAGAUGUUAGCUCAUAAUUAAUAUCUUUGAGAUUAUUCUUUCCUUAUUCAUCUACGAAUAACUCACCUUGCUAAUGGAAAGCCGCCACGUGUAGGGCAAAAUCCUACAGCUAGAACCACCACCUUCCUAUAAAUACCCCAUGUCAACCAAUUUUUGGUAAGCUUUUGAUACGCAUACAAACCCAAAACACUAAUUCUUUUAAGAUAAACUGACUUACAUCGGAGGUCCAUUCCCAACCUCCCACCUUGUGGAUGCGUGAGGCUUUGGCCUUGAUCAAAUGUGUUACUUUGUUUCAUAGGUAUAAUUUUGUCGAGACCGAAGAUAACUGAAUUUUACUACCACAUGUCCAUCAUUAUAUAUAUAUUUUUUAUAUUUUAAUGUAAGUAACAUUAUUACUCUAAACAAUACAAUAAAAGGGAGUAAUUUAAAUUCAAAAUAUAUGUUAAAAAUAAAAACUUUAUUUACCAUGACAGUUACAAUUCCAAUUAAGGCACUAUAAUUUAUGUGGGGUUACAUUAAUCAAGUGGGUGGGAUAUUCUAAGGAUAUAUAAUAUUGAUGUAUUUGUCUUAAUUUACAUGUUUUUUCUUUCUAUUCUUUUGUAAAUUUGGAUCUAUUUGUACUAGUCGUUGCCCAAUGCUUCUGCAGCAGCCACUCUUGCACAAGUCGCCAAAACGUGUCACUAUAUAAUUCAGCGGGUCAUGUAAGCAAAUGAUACAUCAAUUGGAAGCUUUCGCUCUUCACAUGUCAUCCACUUAACACAUAUUAAUCCACACGUUGAUUGGUCAAAGCAGAUAAUUGGAUCUUAAAAUUGCUUUCCAAUCGGGUUCAGAUAAUAGCUGUUAGGAACUGACCAUUUCAAGAUAACGCAAUAUUUGGAACAUUAUUUGAGCAGCUCUAUUUUAAAGUGAACGAUAGCAAUUUUAUUAACGUGAAUGAAGGCAUCCUUGAUCACGUAAGGGCUCCUCAAAUUAACAAGAAUUAAAAUUAGGCUAAUUUGGCCAAUCUAUACUCCAUAACAUUGACGUUUUUACAAAUAUGACAUACACGGACAUCUCCGAAGUUCUGCAAAAGAGACUUGAUAUCCUCCACAAUCAAACCCAAUGGAGUAGAACACAUCUGCAUGCUGCCCAGGUUCUGAAGUUGAAUAACUUGAAGAGCAUCAUUCUCAAGGACCACUUACGGAAACUUACUGCCAAAAGAUUGCUGCGCAGCAUCAGGAGCUGCGAGAAACUCAGCAGUCGAAGGGCUAGUCACAUCCGGUAUUUUACGAACGAAACUUCUAGCAUAGUUACCGGCUUCGUCGGAAAAAACCAUACAACUCUCCCAAAAUUAGUUUUAGAACAAAAUGAUCCGUCCACAUUGAUCCUUUUCGUUUAUUUUAUGAGAGAUUUUAUUUUCUAUUGCUAUAGCGAGCAACUUUCAAUGAAUUUGGAGCAUGAUCACAAUGCAUUAUAUCUACAUAGAUUUGUUUUUCAUAAAUCUACGUCGACAGAAGAGGACAUAUAAAAAAUAAUACGUAGAACAAUACAUCAUGUAAUUUACUGUUUAUCUACAAUAAUUUAUCCAAACCAAUCCAGUACCAUCCAUUACACACAAAUAUAUGUGUAGUAGGUUGCUUUCACUUUAAUAUUCAAUUUCUUAUAUUCAUGGUUGUUGGAGGGACAAGGAAAUGGAUGGAUAUGUUUGUACAAACUUUUUGGCCCUAUUGUAAUGUGAUUAAUUAAUUUCUGUCCAAUUUGUCGAAUAUAUGCUCUUGUUAUAUUUAUGGAGCCCAUGCAUGUUAGUAUUUAUCCUAAAUCCUAAUAGUUUUUAUUUUAUUGGAUCUCAACAAAACUCUGAAGUUAAACGAGUUUAUGUGAAAGUAAAUACUGAAAUAGGUGAUCUCUUAGGUCAUCGUGUUGCAAUCUUCACCCUAAACCCUAAUAGUUGGAGCAUGUAAAAUGGAAAGGAGGACUGUCUCUUUUUUUAAAAAUUUUUUUUUGGGUAAGGGUUAAAAGAACAUAGUGCUUAACUCCUUAGGGCCAAUGCUGGACCACCAUCCCCCUAAUGACGAUUCACAAAUGACAAUUCCAAUGAAACAAGACACAAUGCAUGCUACAAUUUUCUUAUGAAAUGGCACAAGCUAAUUGGUCAAUAACCUUAGUGAACAAUAAUAUAUGAAGAGAUUUUUUUAGUGUGUUUGGAAUAAGGACACAUACAUUAAAUUUUAUUAUACAAGUAGAGAGAUCCAUCAUAUAUAUAUAUAUAUAUUGUGUGUGGAUAUACAUAUAUACUGAUUGAAGACUUGAAAUGAUAUGGUCCUAUCCUAUUGGAUGAAUGAACUGAUGAAAGUGAUUUUGUGACGGCAAUUUUUUUUAGUUUUUUGCUUACCAAAACGGUGUCUUCUUUCACGGGCUCGACGGCUUCUUUUGCCUCUUUCCCAAUUCAUGCGUGCAUGUAAUACUAAUCACAUGUUAUACAUAUUCUGAGCCGGCCACCUGCUGCCCGUGCUACGUUUACGUACCAUUUUGGUUUUUGGUGGGUAAAUAUUCCAUCUGCACGGCCACCUUAAUUAACACACGCGUCCAUAGAUACAGACGAAGUUGAAAAUAUUAAAUUAUUCCUAAUUUUUUUUUGUAACGGAUCAUAGUAGAUUGUAUGCACUCAAACAAAACAAUGUUACGUCACUACAAUUGAACUAUCUGAAAUUAAGUAUUUGUAAAAUAUCAAUCUAAUUCUUAUGUUGAAGGGUGAGAUGACGAUUGAUAUGAUUCACUUGAAGUUCCUCAAUGAUCUUGAGGCUCCUUGUGUAAUUUCAUCGUUACGAUAAUCAUGCAAUGGAGCGGUGCACGCAGUGGUCUCUUUCAUUACUAAACAUAGGGGACAUUUUUGUUGGGACCAAAUAGCAAACUACAAAGCAUGCAGCAGACACGAAACGAGUCCGACAGACUUCAACAAUUUCAUCUAUGAGAGCUGGUUAAAUUUCAGUUAACCAAUUGAUCUGUCAUAAUAUUAUUCUCUCUGUAAAUGUGUUUCAACUCACAUCUCCUUAGUUGUCUCAUAAUUAAUCUGCAACUAUGCAUAAUUAUCUAAAAAAGAUGGAAAUUGUCAACUUAGAUUUGUUUCAACAACAUAACAAUAGCCAUGGAGUCCAUCUUUUUAUUUUAUUUUUUUUUUCGGAGAAAAGGUGGCAUCCAACUCAGUUCUUCUUGAUAGGCCAUUUCCCAAAUACUAUCAAUAUUAUUACCAUAUAUGUCGACGUGGAUAGAUGUAUCAAUAUUUGAUUUACCUUUUUUAUUUACCAUUCCAUAUUCCUUAAUUAAUUAUGAAUUGCUUUGGUUAAUUCCCUCUAUAUGACUCCCUAGAUUUACCAAAAUAUAUUCUAAAAUAAACUAUUCAAGAUCCUUUACUCCUUUUGGUUUAAACUUUAAAAAAUACAAGUGUUUCAUGGCACUUGGAACAAAAGUUUUUUUUUCCUCUUUUAUUUUGAAUUGACAAAGAAAAGGGUAAAUGAAUACUUAGGAAGAUUUGGAAAGAGAUUCCAAAAAAAUAUAGAGCAUUUGUAGCUAAUGAAAAACUUGAAAUAAAAUCGAACACAAUAACAUUAUAAAAUUCAUAUAACUGAUCUCACUUAAUGAGACGAACCCUUUUGUUGUUGUUUGUUGUAUUUUGAGUUGACGAAGAAAAAGCUUUUGUUUUUGGUCUUUGAACCAGACAAAAGUGCCAAACGUUUUAAAAGUACAAAAACAAUACAAAAAAACAUUUGAAGCAAAUAAAAAGACAAGAAAAGGUGCAUCAUGUGAUGUUAGUGCUUUGGUGUAAGAGUGUUUGACCCGCCGCGCCCAUCCCGUUUGAUUUCCCUAAUUUUAAAUUUAAAAAAAAUAAUUCCUUAAUUUUAAUUUGUAUUUGUCUUAAAUUUGUUUCCAACCAAUUAAGAAAAACCAUGAAAAAUUAAACCGAUAAAAAAAGAAAGUUACUCUGAAAUAAAAAAAAUGAACUUUAACAAAAAGCAUCUGGUACUGUUUACUUUAACGAAAAAUCACAUUUUUACACUAAAAAGUCAAUCAUGUACUAUUCACUUUACUCUUUAUUUUGUCCUUAUCAUUAAAACUCAAAGUUUUCAAGAUCUUUUCAUUAGUUUUCCUAUAAAAAAAACCCUAAUUUUCCAGUAAUCUCCUUGAAACACUUUUCCAGUUUCCCCUCUCUCUCCUCCUCCCUCUGAUUAAUGAAUUAGUCAUCCGCUAAUUAAUCAUUACAUCAGAAGAUUAAUGCAAAUCAUUUCGAGGACUUUUCUAAUCAAGUUCCAGAGAGAGAGAGAGAGGGACUAGAAGGAGAAGACCAUUUCACGCAUAAAACAGUCACCACCAUUGACGAGGAGCUCCCCCCUUAACUUUCCCGCGAAACUGAACUUACCCGGAAAAUUCCAAUUCGGUAAAUCCAUUUCAAACAUUCCUCCCUAUUCUUCGUUUUGUUUUUUUCUGGGCAAGCAGCUGAGUCUUUGGAAUCAAUUUUCAAAUUUAAAAAAAAAGAAAAGAAAAACCGAAGGCAAAUGCGCGUCCUUGACAUUAGUCAAAAUGCGAGAUCCGAACCAAGUCUCCGUUCAAAGCUGCAAUUUUUAGAGAAAAUUCAAAUACCCGAAUAUUGUUCAUAUAAAACCAAUCUUUCCCAACCCUUAUUUCUGAAUAUUUGUGGGUUUGGAUUUGUUGGUUUCUUCUGUUGAGAGAAAAAGUUUACAACUUUGGGUGUGCAGAUUAGAGAGCUGGGUGUGCAGAAGGGGAAAAAGCAGGGUGCUUAUAAGUAAGCCUUUUCUGGUUUUGUUUUUUUACCUUUCAGGUUGUAAAAAUUCUUUGUUUUUAUUUGUUCUUUUUCUCUGUUGGAUACCGAAUUUGUUUAUUUUUUGUGUACUGGGGUUCUGAGCUUUCUGCCUGAGAAAGUUUUAUUUAUUUUCUGGGAUUUUCCCCCACUUUUGGGUCUCUGUGUUUAAUAUUUGUGAAUUUUUGGGGGGUUGUGGAACUGGGUUCUUGCUGUGGGUGUCUUUUUUUUAAGAAAGAAGCUGUUUUUUUUUUUUCACUGAGGAAUUGCUUUUCAAGAAGCAGCUGCAGAAGUUGUUACCUCUUAUUUUCACUAGGAUACAUAUUCAAAACUGCUUUUGGAUUUUAUUCCAUUUGAAGAAGUUGCAUUAAUUAGUGAGGGUUUGGAAUUCAAAAGCAGCUUUUUAGCCUUGUAAGUUGGGUUUGUGUUGGUUGGAGCUUGUGGUAGAGUGAGAGGGAAUUAGAGAGAGAAAAUGAGGGGUGGAGGCAGAAGGAGAAAGCUGCAUUUCAGCAAGAUCUAUUCUUUCACUUGUGGUAAAUCUUCUAUGAGAGAUGAACAUUCACAAAUCGGGGGACCAGGAUUUUCCAGAGUGGUUUACUGCAACGAACCGGAAUCUUUCGAGGCUCAGAUGCAAAAUUACGGAGACAAUUAUGUUAGAAGUACAAAGUAUACACUCGCUACUUUCUUGCCAAAAUCUUUGUUUGAGCAGUUCAGAAGGGUGGCCAACUUCUACUUCUUAGUCACUGGCAUUUUGUCCUUCACAGCUCUGGCUCCAUAUAGCGCUGUCAGCGCGAUCAUCCCUCUUAUUAUUGUGAUUAGCGCGACCAUGGUGAAAGAGGGUAUCGAAGAUUGGCAUCGAAAACAACAGGUACUGGUUUUUCUUUCUUCAGCCUGGCUCUAUAUUUUGGUUGUUUUUCUUUCCUUGUCCCUUAAAAUUUCACUGACUUAAAUUAGUAGUUGAGGAUUUUUAACUGUUGAAUUUUACUAUAACUAUCUUGGGAGUUAGAAUUGAUGAGGAAAUUUAUUGAAUGAAAGUUUUCCGAGGCUUGGAGGAUAAUCAAACUAGAUUUUUUUACUUCCUUGAAGAUAUACUCGAUCUGAAUUAGUUGACUGUGCCAUGUAUCUUACCUGCUUUAUAGUUUACAUAUCAUUUUCUGGUUCUGGUAUACUGUCAACCGCGGCUAUAUAAUCUCACAAGUGCGAUGAUUUUCCAGGAUAUUGAGGUGAACAAUCGAAAGGUUAAAGUACGUGAUGGUAAUGGGGCUUUCAAUUAUACUGCGUGGAGAAAUCUGAGAGUGGGAGAUAUAGUGAAGGUAGAAAAGGACGAAUUCUUUCCGACAGACCUCCUCUUGCUCUCAUCCAGUUUUGACGAUGCAAUUUGCUAUGUUGAGACCAUGAACCUUGAUGGGGAGACAAAUUUAAAGUUAAAACAAGGGUUGGAAGUAACUUUAUCCUUGCGGGAGGAUUCUAACUUCAACGAUUUUAACGCCAUUGUUAAAUGUGAAGACCCGAAUGCAAAUUUGUACUCAUUUGUUGGAACUAUGGAGUUCGACAAUGAACAAUUUCCCGUCUCUCCUCAACAGCUUCUCCUGAGAGACUCUAAACUCAGAAAUACAGACUACGUAUAUGGAGCUGUUAUCUUCACUGGUCCUGACACAAAGGUUAUUCAAAAUUCUACCGCCCCUCCUUCAAAAAGAAGCAGAGUUGAGAAGAAGAUGGAUAAAAUUAUCUACUUCUUGUUCUGUGUUAUAUUUUUAAUGGCAUUUGUUGGGUCCAUUUUCUUUGGGAUUGCAACGAAAGAUGACCUAAACAAAGGGAUCAUGAAAAGGUGGUAUCUCAGGCCAGAUAAUUCUAGAAUUUUCUUUGAUGCUAAAAGAGCUCCGUAUGCAGCAAUUUACCACUUUUUGACUGCCCUAAUGUUGUAUGGCAACUUUAUCCCCAUCUCCUUGUAUGUGUCCAUAGAAAUUGUCAAAGUUCUUCAGAGCAUCUUCAUCAAUCGAGAUGUUCACAUGUACUAUGAGGAGGCUGACAAACCAGCACACGCCCGUACCUCAAACUUGAACGAGGAACUUGGCCAAGUCGACACAAUUCUCUCUGAUAAGACGGGAACUUUGACCUGCAAUUCAAUGGAGUUCAUUAAGUGUUCUGUGGCCGGGACAGCUUAUGGCCGCGGCUUUACUGAAGUUGAGAGGGCUAUGGGUCGACGAAAUGGUUCACCAUUGGUUCAUCAACUAAGUGGAGGGGACAAUCUCAAGGACUCUACUGAAACAAAGGCACCCAUCAAAGGCUUUAAUUUUAAAGACAAAAGGGUCAUGAAUGGAAACUGGGUUAAUGAGCCUAAUGCAGAAUACAUCCAGAAGUUUUUCAGUUUAUUAGCAAUCUGUCAUACAGCAAUUCCGGAAGUUGAUAAAGCUACUGGGAAUGUUUCAUAUGAGGCUGAAUCUCCUGAUGAAGCAGCAUUUGUGAUUGCAGCAAGAGAACUUGGUUUUGAAUUCUACAAAAGAACGCAAACAACCAUAUCACUGCGAGAGUUGGAUCCAGUGUCUGGCAAGAAAGUUGAGAGGUUCGUAUAUUGCAUUGUUUUUCUGAUUAUUAGGACUUUUAUAUCUGUGCUGGUACUCUUAGUAAGUACUGUAGAGAGUAUACUCAUUGAGUGAUGUCGUUUUUGCAGGACGUAUAGCCUUCUCAAUGUUUUAGAGUUUAACAGCACAAGGAAGCGAAUGUCUGUGAUUGUCAGAAGUGAGGAAGGAAAAAUAUUAUUACUUUCCAAAGGUGCCGACAAGUAAGUGCUUGCUGCCUUAAACUUGAAUCUCUUCUUACUUCUUACUGCAAAUUUAAAACUGUUCUUCUAACCAGCAUAACUUCUUUUCUGUUCAGUGUUAUGCUUGAAAGGCUUGCCAAAAAUGGUUCGGGUUUUGAAGAAGAGACCAUGGAUCAUCUAAAUGAGUAUGCUGAUGCAGGGCUGAGGACCUUGAUACUUGCCUAUCGUGUACUUGAGGAAGACGAAUACAAAGAGUUCAAUCAAAAUUUUAUCAAGGCCAAGAAUUCAAUUAGUGCAGAUCGUGAAACAGUGAUCGAUGAAGUAACAGAAAAGAUUGAGAGAGAUCUAAUUCUUCUUGGUGCAACUGCUGUUGAGGACAAACUACAAAAUGGGGUAUGUAGUCAUAUAUUGAUGGGGUAACAUGGAAGUUUCUUUAUAGACGAUAUCAGAUUUUGAAUUAAUGUUCUUUCUUUCUUUUUUGGUUAGGUUCCUGACUGCAUUGACAAGCUUGCCCAAGCAGGAAUUAAGAUUUGGGUUUUGACUGGAGAUAAGAUGGAGACUGCCAUCAAUAUUGGGUUUGCAUGUAGCUUGCUUAGACAAGGAAUGAAGCAAAUUGUAAUCACUUUGGAGUCUCCGGAGAUUAAAGCGUUGGAAAAGGCAGGAGAAAAGGAGGCCAUCGCCAAGGUAAAACUAUAUGCAUAUAGUUGAAUUUGUUUGUGUAUUGAAAACGGAAUCUGUAGCUUAAUACUCAAGGAAGUAAAACAGUUUACUUCAACAAUAUAAUAGUACCUUAGUAAUGAUGCUGAUACAAUAUUUGCUGAUUCAUCAUUAGGCAUCAAAAGGAAGUGUUCUCGAUCAGAUAAAUAGGGGAAAGGCUCAGCUUAUAGCAUCGAGCGGGAACUCUGAGGCAUUUGCAUUGAUCAUUGAUGGAAAAUCGCUUGCUUACGCUUUGGAGGAUGAUACAAAGAAUUUGUUUUUAAAUCUUGCAAUUGGCUGUGCAUCUGUUAUUUGCUGCCGUUCAUCACCUAAACAGAAGGCACUGGUAUGUUUACAAAUUAUAACAUAAGGAUUUUUUUCUUUUUCAUUUUUGUUCUUACAUCAUGCUCAGAAAAGAAUUAAUUUGUUUUCAAUGGUGAAAUGUAAAAUAGGUCACUAGACUGGUAAAAUCUGGAACUGGGAAAACAACACUAGCAAUCGGUGAUGGAGCCAAUGACGUGGGCAUGCUCCAAGAAGCAGAUAUCGGGGUUGGAAUUAGUGGUGUUGAAGGAAUGCAGGUAUUGUACAGAUUCUUCCACUUGUUUUACCGAAAUUAAUUAUUGUUUCACUGUAUUUUCCUCUAAACUUUUAUUCUCAUGAACUUAUCAUGCUUAUUUUUUCACAGGCGGUCAUGUCAAGUGAUAUUGCGAUUGCACAAUUUCGAUACUUGGAGCGUCUCCUGCUUGUGCACGGGCAUUGGUGUUACAGGAGGAUCUCAUCAAUGGUAUGCAUGUCAUAUACUAUGAAACAAACUUGAGACUUCAGAAUCUUCGACAAUGUGGCAAAAAAAAUUUAAAUUAUCACAGGCUAAAACUCGUGUGUGCAAAUUUCUCCUUGCAGAUUUGCUACUUCUUCUACAAGAACAUCGCAUUUGGUUUCACUCUCUUCUUAUAUGAGGCAAACACAUCCUUCUCUGGACAGCCUGCAUACAACGACUGGUUUUUGUCUCUUUAUAACGUAUUCUUCUCAUCACUUCCGGUGGUUGCUAUGGGAGUUCUCGACCAGGAUGUAUCUGCGCGGUUUUAUCUCAAGGUAAGCUCACUGGGUUACAUGUGAAAUUCCGUUCGGAUUAACAUGCUUAAUUUCAAGCCUUGUUUUGAAACUUUUGGCAUUAAUUGUUUAUCCUGUUUUGUGUGGCAGUUUCCUCUAUUAUACCAAGAAGGGGUGCAAAAUGUUCUCUUCAGCUGGCGUAGAAUAUUCGGAUGGAUGUUGAAUGGGUUUACAACUGCCGUGAUUAUUUUCUUCUUCUGCACGGAAGCGCUAAAUCAGCAGGCCUUCAACAAUGAGGGCAAAACUGCCGGAAGGGAUAUUCUCGGGGCAACGAUGUACACGUGCACAGUUUGGGUUGUGAACUUGCAGAUGGCACUUGCCAUCAGUUACUUCACCUUAAUACAGCACCUCUUCAUCUGGGGUUCAAUUGCACUAUGGUACCUCUUCCUCUUGGCGUACGGCGCCAUGUCACCCUCAGUCUCCACCACUGCCUACAAAAUCUUCAUUGAAGCCCUGGCCCCCGCCCCUUCGUUCUGGCUCCUCACAAUCUUCGUGCCAAUCGCCGCUCUAAUCCCAUACUUCACAUGCUCAGCCGUUCAAAUGCGGUUCUUCCCAAUGUACCAUAGAAUGAUACAGUGGAUACGCUACGAGGGCACAUCAAAUGAUCCCGAAUUUUGUGACAUGGUGCGGCAGAGAUCUUUGCGGCCGCAGACUGUUGGUUUCACGGCGCGAUUAGCAGCGAGGGCCAACCGUGUAAAAGACAGACAUCGUAACCGUAGAUAAGCUUUGUAAGUUUGUUCUUUGGUAUAGUAGGUCUCAAAGGAUACAGCUUCAGUCUCUCCCAAGUUUAGAAAAACGCUGCGUUUUGUACAUCGAUGGGUUGCACAUAUGUUAUACAACAAGAUUUUUUGGUUCAAUUUGUUCCUAGGAGUGGGCCCCUGUAGCCAGAUGACUCUGUACAGAAGCAGUUUUCAGCUCCGUUAGAAUUAGAGAUUGUAAAUUUUGAGUCAUUGGCCAAUGUAUGUGAUACAUAGUGAAAUAAUAUAUUGCAGGGUUCAGUACUUGUGUUUUCUUCUUGAAUUUCUGUUCUUUUUCUCGUGAGUUCUCCCUUUUCCUUUUCGCGAUAACAAAAAUGAAACCUAAAAACUGAAACGAAAUGGUUAUGAAACGAGGUAUUAAUUAUUUAACAACAAAUUGUUUGUGAAUCGAAGACUUACUGAUGUUCUGGUUAGACUAUGAGAUUAUGAGAUAGAAGCUUAUGGUAAAAGAGGUAGAGGAAGACCCUAAUUUCUACGAGAGCAUCUCAUUAUUGUGAAAAAAAAACACAAUAAAUCAUAAAAUUAAAGAGGAGGGCUUGAUCAUAACUAUAUUUGAUAAUUAAUUCGUAACUCUUUAAUUUACAUGAACAUCCUUUAUAUUUCUGCUAACUAUUAAUUGGCGUUGGACCUCUUAUUACUCGUAACGUGUGAUAUUCUUUUUGUUUGCUAAAAAGAAAGUGAUUCACUAUAUAUGCAUGGUGUGUGUGAGUUAGUUAAGAGCUAAUAGGUGUGUAAACACGAAUAUUCUGUAGCGAAUGAAACGAGAACACGUGUACAAAGUAGAUUCGUAAGGCUACAAUCUUUGCUUACAAUUUUCCUCUGAUUCAGUCUUCAAAUGUGAUGUAGAUGCGUAAGUUGUUGAUCCAAGGGUCGUGAUGACUUGAUCUCGGACGAAAUAUUGAACGAUUGCUUUAAGUUUUGAGCUUGAAACGAUGCGUAGAUGAUCUUCACCUCAAGGUGCGGCAAAGAUGGUGUUGAUGCGGGAUUUUGUUGAUUCAAGGGUUUUGACGACUUGAUCUUGAAUCAAACGUUGUUACAAGUUUUGAGCUUGUAACAAAGUCUUGAAGGAAUCGGCACAAGUGCUUAUUGAUUCUUCAAGUGAAUGCUUCGGCUUUGGUUGUACGUUCUUCGAAAAGAGCUUUGGUAGCGUAUUAGUCUUCAAGGAUUUGUGCAGAGGUUCUUCUGGAUGUAGGAGUUUCGACCCUUAUGUUGUCUUGGCUCCUUGUAUUUAUAAACUUCCAAAGCCAUGCGUUUGGGUGGAUUUGGCUUUGAUUUGUGUCUUGAUUCGUCCAUAGGAGAAUUUAGGCAUGUUUUGUGUCCAGUUUCAGCCACUUUACCCUAUCUUGGCUGAAUUCUAGAGGGCUUGUUACCUAUUUUGUAAGCAAUCUUCACUUCUUGCUUGUUUUAUGAAGAUGGUUUAGCUUUCUUUCCGGUUUUGGGAGUAAUUUGGACCCCUUGCCGAUUUUGAAGGAGAUUUCCUCCCCUUUGCCGAAUUUUGGGAAGUUUUUGUGCUUCCUUUGCUUGAUUUGUGCCACAUGUCAUUGAUGACUUGUCCAUUUGUGAUGAGUCAUAUGUCAUAUGGAGUUUUGUGAUGCAUUAUUUGUAUACAACAAAAUUAACAUGUCUACAAGGUGAAUUUAUAUAGAAGAGCAUUUAUAUACCUGCUGCUUGAUGUGGAAUUUUGCUUUCUUUUUUUUUUUUUAGCAAUAACAUGUACAAUCUUGGAUUUUAUUACAACGAAAGUAGAUCAAGUUUCAGAGUGAAAUUUAUCAUUGAUUUUAUAGUUUUAUUGGUGUGAAUUAUCCUGCACUCACACCAUGAUGUCUUUGCUAAUGAGUAGUCUACAAGGUCCUUUCGUCCGAAAGAGCUUCAGAAGCUAGGCAGUUACAGCAUUCGUUGAGUACUUCCAUGUGCCUCCUUGUGCUGGGAUUUUGUUAGGCUCGUAUCCCAGGUGUGUAUUUUAUCUUCAUAUGUUUCAUAGUUUUAUUUAGUUUUGAUAUAUAAUCAACUAGAAACACAUUCAGUUGGACGAAUUCCGCAUUGUGACAUACAUGACAUUGGAUUUCACUGGUUGGACACUGUAAAAUUUUGAGUGAAAAUCAAUUAGGGGAACUAUAUACUGGUAGAGAUGUGCAUAUUAAUCCUGCCUAAAGUAAAAUUUAGAAAUCUGGCAUGGUGAAAAUCCAAUAGAGAAUAUGAGAAACCCAACUUAAUUUUAAGAAUUUGUUUUGGUGCCUACUGUGAAUGUAACUAUAUCUAUGAAAUUGUAUACAGAAAUUCUAGAGAGAGAUAACAAUUCAGAGAGAAGAGAGAGAGAAUGAAUGUUCUUGAUAUAUUUCUUAAUCACCAAGUAAUACAAGAGGUUGAGAUAUUUAUACACUUCUAACAACAAGGCUAACUGCCUUAACUAACACAUCUUCUAAUCUAAUUACACAUGUCAUCAUCCUAUACAUCAAUUUCUAUAUUCUAUCACCCUCCCGCAAACUCAGGCUGGGAGGCACGAAGCAUGAGAUUGGAAUAGUGAAUAUGAAAUAAAGGAGAACUCAAGCCUUUAGUCAGAAUGUCAGCAAACUGCUAUUUGGAUGACAAAAACUGCACAGAGAGGUGCUUUUUUUGCCACUCGUUCCCGCACAAAAUGAACAUCAAUCUCAAUGUGUUUAGUGCGUUGAUGUUGAAAGGGAUUAAAAGACAAAGCAAUGGCAGACAGAUUAUCACAAAACAACACAGGUGGAGAGAAUAAAGGAACCUGCAAGAAGACUAAGAGUUGCUGGAUCCAGUCCAAUUCUGCAGAUGUGGAUGACAGGGCACGAUAUUCAGCCUCUGUAGAAGACCGGGAUACUAUCAGUUGCUUCUUGGAUGACCAGGAAAUAGGACUAUUCCCUAAAAACAUAACCAAGCCAGUAAUCGACUGUCGGUCAUUAGGAUCCCCUGCCCAGUCAGCAUCACUGAAGGCCUUUAAUUGAAGCGAGCCUCGAGAAUAACCGAUGCCAUGACUAAGGGUUCCUUUUAAGUACCGCAAGAUUCGUUUGACUGCUGUAAAGUGAGCAACCAUAGGGGAUUGCAUGAACUGAGCCACUUGAUGGAUAGAGAAUGCUAUAUCCGGCCUUGUAAACGUAAGGUACUGCAAAGCACCUACCACACUUCUGUACAAAGUAGGAUUGGUAUAUGGAUCACCAUCAUCCUUGAGAAGCCUGUUAUACGGCAAACAAGGAGUGUCACAAGGUUUGGCAUCGAGCAUCUCUGUUUUGGUGAGAAGAUCCAACACAUAUUUCGAUUGAGACAAGAAUAAACCAGUGGGAGUCCGUGAAAUUUGAAUGCCAAGGAAAUAAUGCAAAUCCCCUAAAUCCUUGAUGUCAAACUCAGUGUGUAAAACAGUAAUAACCUGUUGUAUGGAUGUAGAUGCACUCCCUGUGAUGAUAAUAUCAUCCACAUAGAGUAGAAGAAUGACAAUCCCAGAAUCAACCGUUUUGACAAACAAAGAGGAAUCCGAAUAGGUGGUUUGAAACCCCAAAUGAGGCAGGAAUUUGGUGAAUCUAUCAUUCCAAGCUCGGGGAGCUUGCUUGAGUCCAUAUAGGGAUUUCUGCAGUUUGCAAACUAGGUGAGGAUGAUGAACAUCUUCAAACCCAGAAGGCUGAGCCAUGUACACUUCGUCUUCUAAAAUGCCAUGUAAAAAAGCAUUUUUGACAUCGAGUUGUCGAAGGGACCAACCAAACUGAGCUGCAAGAGCUAAUACUAAUCGAACAGUGGUAGGUUUAACCACAGGACUGAACGUUUCCCCAUAGUCAAUUCUAGGUUCUUGACUGAACCCUUUAGCUACUAAUCUAGCUUUAUGUCGGGCAAUAGUACCAUCAGAAUGUCUCUUGAUCUUGAAUAUCCACUUGCACCCCACCAAAUUCUUUGAGGAAGGUAAGACCACCAGAUUCCAGGUACCUUGUGUAUGCAAAGCACUGAUUUCCUCUUGCAUAGCCUUAAACCAAAUCGGAUUCUUCAAGGCAGAUUGUAGGAAGUUGGUUCAAUAAGAGACAAAUCAGUACCCUCAGACUCCUGAACAAUAGCUAAUAAAGCUCUUUUCUUGAUAAUUCCACUCUUGCUCCGAGUUUGCAUAGGAUGUAAAUCGAUUGGUGGAACCUCCAGUACCACUGACAAAGUAUCAGGAUGAAAUUGUACUUCUGGAACUUGAGACUGAGGAGAACCAUUGACAAGUGCCACAAGAGGUUGAGAAGUAGUAGAGGCAGUAAUGGACUGAGAGGAUAGUGGUGAUGAUGAAAUCGGAGAUAGUGAUAUGGUAGGAGAACCAGGCAAAUUGGAGGAGGUAGGAUGUGAUUGUGAUGUUAUGGGGACAUGAGGCAUAGAGACCACAACAUUAUCAGUGGAAACAACAGGUACUGGACUGUGGGUGGUAGAACUAAGGUGGGAUGAGGUAUGAUGGACCAACAAGUCUGUGUAUAGGAAUUGAGACUCAUCAAACACUACAUGCCGUGAUAUGUAUAGUCUUUGUUUAGAAACCUCAUAACAUAUAUACCCUUUAUAGUUGGUAGCAUACCCCAGGAAAAUACACUUGGUGGUUUUUGGUUGCAGCUUAGAGUCAUUAUAAGGCCUUAAUAACGGAUAACAAGCACAACUAAAUGAUCUAAGAUGGGAAAUGACAGGGAGAAGCCCAAACAAUAGUUCAAAUGGAGAAUGAUUGCCUAGGACAGGAGUGGGCAUUCUAUUUAUGAGGUAGAUGGCUGUUUGACAAGCAUAGGACCAAAACAGGGCAAGUAAUCUAGCAGUUUGUAAAAGGGUCACAGUUGUUUCAAUGAUAUGCCUAUGCUUUCUCUCAGCGAGGCCAUUUUGCUCAGGAGUAUAUGGAUAUGAUUUAUGAUGUGUAAUGCCUUUUUCAAGAAGAAAUGACUGAAAUGCUUUACUAACAUACUCUCCCCCUCCAUCACUUUGAAGAGUUUGAAUAGGAGUUGCAAACUGAGUAAUAACAAAGGAAUAGAAUGCAACAAAUUUGGCAAAGACAUCAGAUUUAUUUAUUAAUGGGAAAAUCCAGCAGUAUCGUGUACACUCAUCAAUAAAGGUCACAUAAUACUUGUAACCAUCAAUAGAAACAGAAGGGGCUGGACCCCAAAGGUCACUAUGAACUAUAGCAAAGGGUAUUACAGACUUAUUGGGACUUAGAGGAAAAGGAAGUUUACAAAACUUUCCCUCCAAACAACUAGAACACAGGACAGGUAAGGAUAGUUUGGGACAGGGAAUAUGAGCUUGUUUUAACAUCAAAGAAACAAUAGAAUUGGAUGGAUGACCUAGUCUAUUGUGCCAAGUAGUAGAGUGAAUGUGCUGACCGAGAAGAGCUUUAGCUUGGAACGGUACUGAGGUGGAUCCAUGAGAAGUGGUUGAAAGACAGGGAAUUGGGUAUAGACCAUUACUGCAUACUCCUUUGUAAAUGAUCCUCCUUGUGGCCUUGUCCUGAAUCCAAAAGCAAAAAGCAUCAAAAAUUAGCCAGCAAUUGUUAUCCAAACAGAUCCGAUGCACAGAUAAUAAGUUUUGGGUUAACUUCGGAACAUAUAACACAGAAUUGAGCUUCAUUGGAGGAACAGAAUUAACGUUGGAAAGAUUAAGAACAGUACUGCCAAUAUGAGAUACAGGCAAACCUUCACCAUUGGCAGUUUGGACAAUCUCAGAAGUAGGAUAUGGAGAUGCCAGAGAUAAGUUGCUGAGAUCAGAAGUCAUGUGAUUGGUAGCACCAGAGUCAGUGAGCCACACUUGAGGAUUAAAGUGAGAAUGAGAUGCCACGGAAGGAGACUGAGGCAUCACAGUAUGCAUAGCUUGAGGAGAGAAUUGGUGUCCAUUCAUGGCAGAGUGCUGACUAGAAACAUUGUAACCGGGAGCACCAAAGUUUGAGGAAUGCAGCUGAGACGGAUAAAACUGACUGGGAGCACCAACAAAAUUAGGGCCUUUGUCAUUAUAAAAACAAUACCAUGUGGUGUGAUUGUGCUUGCCACAAAUUUGACAAUUAACUCUGUCAGAAGGUUUAGAACGGCAGAAUGGUGCGGUGUGUCCUUCAGCAUUACAAAGUUGACAGGUUUGCACCAAGGAAACACUUGAAUGGCCAUAAGACUGCACUGGGGAAUGACCAAGGAUGCCCGGAGUCGGUGUUGGUAGCACAUGUGUUUGAGUGGAAAAAGAUGGUUUGGGUGGAUAAGACCGAAACCCUUGAUUAAACUUGCCUUUGCCUUUGUUUCUGUUGCCAUUGAACAGCUUAUAACCACCAGAGAAGAACUGAGACUGACCAGAUGCACCCUUUCCGGAAUGCGAAACAUUAUUUGCAACCAUUGCAGUAAUAAAUGGUGCAGUGGUAGAAUUCUCAACAAUAAUCUCUUCAGCAAGCAACUGAGAUCGAAACUCUUUAAGAGAUAUCACAUUCUCACGACCUCUAAUGACACACCGAAAAGUAUUAUAUUCAGAGGGUAAGCCAUUGAGAGCAAGGAUAACAAUAUCUUCAUCAGCAAAAUGAACUCCAGCAGCAGAUAAGUAAUCCCGAGCCUCUUUUAUCCUAUGAAGAUACUGGGACACUAAAUCAGAACCCUUCUUAAUAGUUUGGAGAUUAGAUUUCAUUUGAAAUAUACUAGUCUUAGACACAGUAGAGAAUUGUUCUUUCAAACGAAUCCAUAUAUCUUGAGAACUCUUACUACCAAUAGCACAAGAUAGAGCAGCAGGCGAAAGGGUAGCAGUUAGCAGUUGCAUAACAGCCUUAUCAUGCAUUUUCCAAAUCAUAAACUCAUCCGUUGCAACAGAAGCAUUAGAGCUAGAGUUCAUACCAGAGGCACCAGAUUGAUCGGAAAAUUGAGGAGGACAGGGAUGUGAGCCAUCAACAAACCCCAUAAUUCCAUUGCUCUCCAACAAGAGUUGUAUCUGAAAGUGCCAAUUAAGAUAGUUGGAGUCAUCCAAUUUGACAUUCACCGAAGUCGAAAUGGAGGAGAUUAGGGCAGUAAUCGGGGAUUGCACAAUUUGAAGUUGCGAUGCAGUUACCAUUGAAAUUGCUUCAGACAAACUCAGUGAGAACUUUUAGCAAACAGGUGGAAUGCACUGACCAAAAAAGCAGAAGAAAUGAUCGACACAGGAAGACGAUCAACCAAGAAACAAGAAAAAAACUAGAAAUCAAGAUUUCGAGAAGACGAAGAGAAUUGAAGAAACCGAAGACAAAUUCCGAGAUCAAAUACACCGUCGAGGCGAGCGGAAGCAGAGACAGAGGAUCGAAGAUCAAGCGCAGGCAACAAAGGCGAGUGAUACCAUGUGAAUGUAACUAUAUCUAUGAAAUUGUAUACAGAAAUUCUAGAGAGAGAUAACAAUUCAGAGAGAAGAGAGAGAGAAUGAAUGUUCUUGAUAUAUUUCUUAAUCACCAAGUAAUACAAGAGGUUGAGAUAUUUAUACACUUCUAACAACAAGGCUAAAUGCCUUAACUAACACAUCUUCUAAUCUAAUUACACAUGUCAUCAUCCUAUACAUCAAUUUCUAUAUUCUAUCACCUACAAAUGAAAUCUGGCAUAGUGAAAGUUUGCGUAGCGAAAUUAUGACAAAUUUUCCUUCAUCUUUAAAUUUUCAUUCAAUUCAUAUGCAAUUUGGUAUGAUUCAAUUCAUAAGUGAUCAAAUUCUAUUUUUUUCUGUCCUUAUUUUGAAUUUCAGUUUAACGUUGUCAUACAAAACGAAGGAGACAUCAUUAACGGAGUUACGGAGUUGGGUUCUUUAGUGAAACAAAACUGGAUUGUUUUAACUUUGUAUAGUAGUAAACAUAAAACAAUCUCUGGGAUAUAGCCAUAGCUUUUGAAAAACAACCCUAAGGAUGGCAUGCCAAUAUUCCCAAUUUUUUCCAUGUAAUAUAUGAACGUAAAUAGCACUUCCUUAACACAUGGAUAUGAUAUAUGUAUAUAAAUAUAAAUACCACUUUGUGGCACAUAUUUUUUUCGAGACUUCUACAUAUUCAUUAGUGUUUUCAAACCCCACAGCAAUGGACAGGUACUCUUUGGUAGUUUUGAACAAAACAUCAUUUUAUGCAAAUCUGUUUUAUCAACUACAUGCUCAAAUUAAGAAUAAGUUGAGAACGUGGCUUUAAGAAAGGAAAAUGAUAAACACAUAUUGUAUUUUUCCUCUUAUAUUCCUAUGUUUUAUCAUGUUUAUUGUUUUUAUUGAUUUAUUCGACUUGUUGAUUAGAAAAGAAGGAUGUGUGAUAGGCUAACUAAAAAAGGUGUGUGUAAUCUAGUUUCCUUGAGAAACCAAGAGAAAUGUAAGAAAGCGAGACACUUCACAGUUUCAUUACACUCUUUGUUAAAAAAGGAAAAUAAAAAGGCUUUUUUGCUAAAAUAGUCCAUGAGAUUUGCAUAAUUUAUUAUUUUGGUUUUUGAGAUUUAAAAUCAAUAGAAAUGGUUUCUGAGAUUGUCCAUCAUCUAUCAUUUUGGUCAUUUUGUGAAAAAACUCUGUUAAGUUGAGAGUAUUUUUGUCAAAUCAAAUUCUCUACUUACUUUUUCACCCUUUUCUCUCAUUUCCCUAAAAAAUGAUCAUAUGUUGCUGAUUUUGACAGUGAAAUCAAAUCUUCACCCAUUAUUAAAAAACUAUUUGACGCCAAAUUCAAGUAAAUCAUUGCAGAUGACCCUUGACUUUUUCCCUUUCAUUAAUUUUUGAUAAAAGCUGCACAAUUUGCACAUUUGAAUAUAAAUGAAAUCUAUGGUUCAAAGUAUAGUAUAUCCACAGACAAGGCUAAUCAAUAGAAUUACCAAAAAGAGAUACCAUGUUCCAUCACAUGAGAUUUCGAACAUGAUUAGCAUUAUAACUUGCAAAAUAUCCCAAAGCAAAACAUUCAAAUGUUCAACAAUUUUACAAUUUUAUAAAUUUUAAAAGCAUGAAUUGACGAAAAUGCCCUGGAGGCGAGGACUUUGAUUUCUGUUGACCGUCGUCUAGAGGAACGUAUGACUUAUUCUUUUGGCGUAUUUGUGUAGUACUCGUUGGUACGAACGCAUAGGCGAAAACUGUUUGAGAAUCCGGAUUAUAACGGUAUGGUCACGGACAUUUGAAUUUGGUUAUUUAUAUUUUGGAUUAUAGAUUAAUUGAACUUCCACCUUGCGGGAGUAAAGCCCAAUCGGAUUUAGGCAAGAUUAAGGAGAACCAAUUGGAAUUAAGUAAGAAAUAAAGGAACCAAUUAGGGGCUUGGUUUCAGCCCAAUCAGUUAUGUUAAAUAAGUGACCAAUCAAAUUUUGAAAAAGAAAAGGGGAAGGACCAAUGAGAAAUCAGGAAGAAAAAAAGAAAAAGAGGAAAGCUCCAUUUCCGUCGGCCCUUUUACCCGCACCCAACCCAAUCGAAUUCUGGCGAUUUUCGCCAUCUUUUUCGUCGAACGUCACCAUCUAACACCUGCCAUCUCUUCCACAACAUUUCUUCUACCAUUUCCACCCAAAUUUGUGAGCUUGUAGGUCCAAAAUCGCGAUAACCGUGUGGAAGAGCCUGAGGUGUUCGAUGGCUAUCCCGCCGUUCCGGCGAGUUCUACCACCCACCAUCACCCUUAAUCAACUUCCCUUGGACCCAGGAACAAGACCCAACCAGUUAUAGGGGCGUUGGAACAUCGGAGAAGUCGAAUCGAAGCACACCCUUUAUAGGGUUCCGACGGGUUUGAGUGAAAUUGGAGCCUUUGGUGGCUAGAUUGAACUUGGCCACAGGUAUAAAUCGAUUCCUCCUUUUGUAGAUGAAUUUUCAUGUUUGGAUCGUGUGAUUUGGUGGAGAAACGAGAAAGUUAUAACAAUUUAAAGUUUGCCCAGUUUCCGGCGACCUCCGCCACUUUCGAGGUGUUUUACGGAAAAAUCACGGCAAGAUAGCCAUCUUGUAAGGUAUCAAUCUCUUCAUAUUGUUGAGACUAUGAUUUUUGUUUUUGAAUCACUUGUUUUCAUUGAGUAUUGACAAAGUUAUGGACGUUGAAAGGGUGCCCAGAAAUUCCGGCGAGUUACCAGUUUUCCCGCGGACAGCCAUCUUUCAGACCAUUUUCCGGCCACCUACGGCCACCAUUUGGACUCCAAGUUGGUAUAAUUUUGUUCUAAAUUUCUCUAGCUUCGAUUUGGUAUAUUAUGGGUUGAAUUUGGUUGAGAAACAAGUGAGAUAUGGAGUUCCAAAAAUUGCCCAGGAAAUCUGCAAAAUCUGCAUAAUCCGGCAAAGUUCCAUUAAGGUCCACCACUUGAUUAGAAUAGUAAUAGACGAUCUGACUGUUGGAUCAUCACCAAACUUUAAUAAAUUAUAGUACGGUAUAUUUGAGGACCAUAGAAACUUACGGAUCAGGAAUCCGACGUACGGAUCUUCCCAAAUUGGAUUUGUAAGUUUAUUAAAUAAAUGUUAACCGCCACUUGGUUUUGGGCAAUUGGCGGAGAUCCGACCGUUGGAUCACAAUGAAAUUUUAGUAUGUUAUUCUAGAAGCAUAAUGUGGAUCUUUGGAAGUUUCGGAUUGAAAAUCUGAAUUUCAGAUCUUCCGGAUUGAGUUAUACAGGGUUGUAGACCCUACCGUCGAUCUUUGAUCGAUGGUUGACUCGUGGUCGAUGAGUCUCAAACUAUUUUAGAAUGUCCUUGAGGAUGUGCUUUAUGUGAAUUUCGUAUUCUAUUGAUAAGAAUUCUGAGAUGUGAUCCGAUAAUUGUUAUAGGCGCCAAUCUUUCGAGACGUCUCGAUGCUCGUGCUAGAUAAUCAUAGCGUGGACUUUAGGUGAGUGGGUCUUUUCCUUUUAUCAUAGGCAUAUAGUUGAUAGUUCCACAAAUGCUUCUAAAUUGAUUUAUGCAUUUUAUGCCAUAUCAUAUAUAUAUAUAUGUAUAUAUAUAUACAGAGAGCUUAAGGGGAGGGAUCCCCAUUUUUUUGAAAAAAAUGGGGACACGCUCCCCACCGUUAGAUUGACUUUAAUGAAAUUGUGUGGUUGAGAUUAAAACAUAGGCUAUACAAUCUCAACCACACAAUUUCAUUAAAGUCAAUCUAACGGUGGGGAGCGUGUCCCCAUUUUUUUCAAAAAAAUGGGGAUCCCUUCCCUUAAGCAAUUCCUAUAUAUAUAUAUAUAUAUAUAUAUAUAUAUACAUGUGUGUGUGUAUAUGUUCUGAAGUGCUAAUAGAUGGUUGAGUUUAGAUUAUGUCAUAGUAUAUCCACAUGCAUGUUAUCUACAAUUAAUUAAUGUGAACUACAAAUGGCUUGAUCCCUGUUUAGGGUAUGUAGGCAGUCUAGUGAGAUGUUAGAUGCAACCAUAUAAUAAAUGAGACUAAAUAAUUGAGACAAUAACAUUGUUUGGGGAAUUGAGCAAUGUGAGUGGGCAUUUGUUCACACACACACAUACACACACACACACACACACAUAUAUAUAUAUAUAUGUUUUAUGGUUUCCAGAAAUGUUUUAAGUUGAGUUAUGCAUUUCAUCCUAUGUCUAAAAUGUGUUAUAUUCUAAGUGUUACAUUGUUUUGAAUUAUGUUAUGCUAAACGACGCUGAGGAGGCGCAAGUAAGUUCAGGUAAGUAUACGGUAUUAGUUGAAUUAAUGGGGUUAUGGUAUGACUACAUUUACGUUUUAAGCAACUCUGACAUUGUCGUACAAGUUGCAAUAGUAGGUAACUCCGGCAUUGUCGUACAGGUUGCCUAUGAGUCGUACAUGUUGUAUUAAAUGCAUUUAAAGCUCAUAAACCCGCACCCCCGUGUUAGUGCUCCUGCUCGUGGCCAGGGCACAAUCUUUCACGUGAUAUUCACCUCUCGCACCAUACGCUCACCUUGAAUCCAAGUUAGGUGCAUAGGCAUGUCGUAUAGACCACUAUAGGUGGUUCCGACUCGUAGGUGACCUGCGAUCACUCGCACAACUUUCACGUAAUUGUAGCACUAGAGCGUAUACAUUCACACCCAGGCAUGUCGUAUAGACCACUACAGAUGGUUCCGACUCGUGUGCAGAUGUAGUGCCAUACAGGUCACUAAAGGUGACUCCGGCUUAUGUGCUAGCAAUGAUUGAUGAGUUAUGAUUUCAGUCGUACAGGUCACUAGAGGUGACUCCGGCUUAUGUGCUAGCAAUGAUUGAUGAGCUAUGAUUUCAGUCGUACAGGUCACUAGAAGCGACUCCGACUUAUAUGCUAACAAUGAUUGAUGAGAUAUGGGUGCAGUCAUACAUGUCACGUUAGGUGACUCCGACUGAUAUUUCAUUUCAUAUUGAUUAAAUUCAUUUGGCCUACUUGUUAAUGCAUUGUGGAAUUGAUGGACAUGGCAUACCCGUGGUUUUGGUCAUUCAUGAGUAUGGUUUGGAUUUACAUACAUAUAGAUAUGUAUAUAUGUAGUAUUGUCUUAUGAAAACAAUACGGGUUUUACAUUGAAGGGCAUUACUUCUAGAAAGGUAAUAACUUUGGGAAGCUUGGUUUUUAUUGCUCACUCACACUCUCUGUUUCGUGCCCUCCAAGUUUUAGCUGCUGAGUUCGUAUCAACGAUGAUUUGUGGCGAAUCUUAGUAUUGAUGGCCACCUCUGAGGGUAUGAUUCAUACCCACAUUACUAUACUUUACUUAUACUCUAACUUCGCGUGUGAAAUGGGUUCGCUCCCACUCACAACGUACUCUGGUAUUUAAACACUUUUAGGUUUAAAUUUAUUCACAUUUUACACAUCAUCACAUUCUAUGGCUUCGUCACCCUCCAGAUGUCGGCCAACACGGCUCAAUUCGGGGUCCUAGUGGACAUUCCGGGUCGGGGUGUGUCAAUAUCCAACUGUUCUAAUUCACAAAAAAAAGAAAAGAAAUGGUUGUAGCUUGUUUUCUUCCAUUUGUGCAUUGACAUCCAAACUACAAACUCCCUCCAUACUCAAGGCUUCCAAGGCUUGCCACUUUUUUAGGGUGAUUUGUAUCUUUUGUUGGUAGAUUCUGAUUGUGGUGACACUACUUGGGAUAUGACACCAAUGCAGUCUUGUACCUGUUAAAGGAAAAGGAUCAUCGCCAUAUCCUUUUCUAAGGAUCCUAGGGAUCCAACAAUCGUGUAUGUUCAUCGUACAUCGUGCGUCAUAAAUCAUUUUAAAAUUUAAAUUUAAAUUCAAAUAUAAAUAGUACCUAACGAAAACUGACCGCACAAUGUACGAUGAACGGACAAGAUUGUAAGAUCUCUAGGAAAAGGAUCCUCCGGAGGAUCCUUUUCCCCUGUUAAAAACCAAAUGAUAAUAGCUUAUGCUUAGUCACCCUAUAAAAUCCAAAUCAUACUGCUUUUAUCACAAUUUACACAAAUUAUUGUUAAAAAAAAGGUAAAGAAUAAACAAUACAAAAACUAAAGGACUCUUGAAUGUACCAUUUAAACUUAUGGAGUGAGUUGUGAGCUAGUUACUACUAUUCUCAUUCCCCUCCCUUUUUCCAUGCCUCUGCCCUGUCCCACGGAAAAUGAUCAUCGCCGGAACCUUUUCCUAAGGAUCCUAGAGAUCCAGCAAUCGUGUCCGUUCAACAUACAUCGUGCGGUCAUAAAUCGUUUUAAAUUUUAAAUUUUAAAUUCAAAUAUAAACAGUACCUAACAAAAACUGACCGCACGAUGUACAAUGAACGAACAAGAUUGUAGGAUCCCUAGGAAAAGGAUCCGGCGAGGAUCCUUUUCCCCUCCCACCUACAUUAUCAACAAAUAUAAUGAACUUCACUUUCAUUAUAAAAAACUACAAUUUAAAAACAAAAAUACAACAUAAAACAUAUUAUACUUCUAGUGUAGAUGUGUUAAUAAUCAAAUGAUUUGGCUCUUGAGUGGCUUGAGUUGCUAUUUUUAAAAUGACCUCAAUGCUCAUGGUCAAUCUUUGUGUUAACAAUGUGUUGUGAGGAAGAUCUCCUCAAGUAACAUAUGAAAUCAAUGGAACCGUGACAUCAUUUCUCAAAAGAGUGUCUCGUCCACAAAGUAAAAAGGAAAACGACUUCGCAAGAUGUUAAGAGAGAUGUAAGAAUGAUGCGGAGUGGUGUUUUUGUUUCCUCCAAGCUCGUCGAGCAAUUGUUAGGAAAGGCCGUAAGAAUGUUUGAUAUAGUGGCGCUCGAUCCAUCAUGAUGACAUGCAUCAUCCUUCACAACAUGAUUGUGGAAUAUAAUUGACUAUUUAUUUCAUAGAUGUUUACGUAGAAUUAUAGGAAAACGCCAACAAUUACUGUCUUAUAUGUUAAAGAAAAAUAGAAUAUGUUAUAAAUUAUGAAAAACUCGUUAAUUUUAUGAAUGCAUUAUGAAUUAUUUGAUUUAUUAGAUCUUGAAUUUUAAUGAACGUUUUUUUCAUUUUCAACAAUUCAUGCCUCUGCCCCUUCCCACCUACAUUAUCAAUCAAUUUAAUGAACUUCACUUUCAUUAUCAAAAACUACAAUUUAAAAACAAAAAUACAAUGUAAAACAGAUUAUUCCUCUAGUGUAGAUGUGUUAACAACCGAAUGAUUUGGCUCUUGAGUGGCUUGAGUUGCUAUUUUUAAAAUGACCUCAAUGCCCAUGGUCAAUCUAUGUGUUCAACAAUGUGCUGUGAGGAAGAUCUCCUCAAGUCACAUAUGAAAUCAAUGGAACUGUGACAUCAUUUCUCAAAAUAGUGACACGUUUAUAAAGUAAAAAGGAAAAUGACUUCGCAAGAUGUUAAGAAGGAUGUGGAGUGGUGUUUUUGUUUCCUCCAAGUUCGUUGAGUAAUUGUUAGGAAGGGCUAUAAGAAUGUUUGAUGCAGUGGCGCUCGAUCCAUCACGAUAACAUGCAUCAUCAUUCACAACAUGAUUAUGGAAGAUAAUUGACUAUUUAUUUCAUAGAGGUUUACAAAGAAUUAUGGGAAAACGCCAACGAUUAUUGUCUUAUUUGUUAAAGAAAAAUAUAAUAUGUUAUAAAUUAUGAAAAACUCGUUAAUUUUAUGAAUGCAUUAUGAAUUAUUUGAUUUAUUAGAUCUUGAAUUUUAACGAACAUUUUUCGUUUUCAACAAUUCAUGAAAGAACGAAUUGAGAAAAAAAAAACCUGUGAAUAUAUUGGCAACAAGAAAAUACCUUAUGAUAAUCAAUAUAGGCCCCCACCAUCAAUUAAUGAUGGUGUUCUUCAACUAAUUAUUACACUAGAUGAUGAAAAUGUUAUUAAAUGCAAACCAAUAUUGUAUUAUUUACACCUAAUAAUUGAAAAAAGAAUUGCAAAAAAUCAAAUAAUUGUGCAAUAUUUAUCUUAUGUAACACGGUCAUUAGUGUGUUUGCAGUCGUGUGACUUGACUCAUGAGUGUCAUCAGUUGGUAUUGACUGACUUGUAAAGCCUCAAUUUCCACAAGUUCUUUUUGUGUGGCCUUCAAGUCUACAUUGAUAACAUGUGAAAGGAAAGGUCUUUGCGAAUGACAAAGAUUGUCGAUAUUGACUGACUUGUAAAGCCUCAAUUUCCACAAGUUCUUUUUGUGUGGCCUUCAAGUCUACAUUGAUAACAUGCGAAAGGAAAGGUCUUUGUGAAUGACAAGGAUUGUCUACCCUCCAAUUUCUAGUGCCCUCUCGUGCCCUCCUGUUUUGUGUGAUUAUGGUUAAGUCACGUCAAUAUUUUAUAUAUAUUUUUUUAUAGAGAUAAUAAGACAAAAUUGAAUAGUACUAUAAAAUGUUGACGUAGUUUAACCGUGACCACACAAACAGAAAAGCAUGGGAGGACAUCGAAAGUGAAAGGGCAGACAAUCCUUGUCCCUUUGCGAAACCCAUUUCCUAGCCACUUUCCAGUUCCCAAUCCUUGUCCCUUUGCGAAACCCAUUUCCUAGCCACUUUCCAGUUCCCAAUCCUUGUCCCUUUGCGAAACCCAUUUCCUAGCCACUUUCCAGUUCCCACCAUGAGUUGUGAUGCUCUUCCUCAGGCUCAUUUUCCGUAUUCUUUCUUUUACAGCUGUCAUGCGAAAUGAUAACAACAUGUACGGCUGUCCACUUACCUAUGGGGAUCACUUGGUAUGUUCUCGCCGCCAACUAUAGAGGAACCUGAAUUGUCUGCCCUCUUCUUCUGUCCAAUCAUUUUCCUAUUCUUUUCUAUUUAUGUGGUCACGGUUAAGUCAUGUUAAGACAAAAAAUAAUAAGAAUACAACAUAUUAACGUAAUUUAAUCGUGACCACAAAAAUAAGAAAGAAUGAGAAUAAUAUGGAAUGAAGAGGACAGACAAUCUAGGUCCACUAUGGAGAUCUUUCACACCAUGUUUUAGGUGUCAGCUAACUAUGGCGGUCAUUCACACCCUAAUUUCCAGGUUAGCCAGCUAUGGAGGACCUUCACUCCAUGUUCCAAGUGUCAGCCAUCUAUGGAGGCGCUCCACCCCAUGCUUCAAGCGUCAGCAAACUAUGGGACAAGGCCCUUCACUCCAUAAUUUCAGGUUUUAAGAGUUACGUGUCAACCAUUUGUAGUGUUUGCACUGGCAGAGCCUAUCGUGAAAAAGAUAUAAUCUUAUAUAAUCCGAGAUAGCUUUUGGUGAAAAAGAAAAUUUUACACAUAAUUUUCAUUAAUUUUUUAAUGUAAUCUACCAUAUACGUAGACACUAAGCCUAAUUAUCUUAGUUUAAUUGUAUAAGAUUAUACCUUACAAUUCAUAAGCCAUCUUUUUGUCUUUCUCGGCAUAUUUGACACACCCUGAUCCGAAAUGUUCACUUGAACUUCGAAUUGAGUUGUGUUGGACGACACAUGGAGGGUAACGAAGCCUUAAAGUGUAGUGUAGUGGAAAAAGAAUGUGAAUAAAUUUAAACCUAAAAGUGCCUAGUCAAAAGAAUGUGCGAGUGAGUGGGAUUGAACCCAUUUCACACGUGAUGUCAGAGCAUAAGACAAUAUAGUAAAUAGGAUGAGGGUUAAAGCACUGAAGAUAACCAUCUUCUGAGAUUUAUCAGAAUCCUCGUUUACACAUAAGCACAACUACUAAACCUGGAAGGGCGAAAAACAAAGUUGAGUGGGUCAGCAAAACAACGUUUGUAAGAAAACCUUUAUUUUUGAACAUAGUAACCCAUCGCUGGAAAACAAGUAUAGUUUUCGUAAAACAUACUACGUAAGUAUGUAAACAAAAGUACAACAACAAUAUAACCAGAAAUAUGCCAAAUCAUGAUAUAUCAAAUGCCGCAGUAAUAUAAUCAUGUGAUAAAUAAAUAUAACUAAGUGCUCAUCCAUCUAAGUUGACACACAAGUUCGUAUAGAUAAUCUCUGACACGAACAGGACUGGGUGUAAUCAAUACAUUCUAGUAUUACGAUCACGUGAAGGCUAGUGCCAAAGCACGGUCACAUACGAGUCGAAAUUGCCUAAUGCAAUUUGUGCGAUAAGACUAACACCUAACUUGGAUCCAAGGCGAGCGAACGGUGCAGAUGUGAACAUACACGUGAAGGUUGGCCCUGGCCCUAGGUUGGGUACUAACGUCGGGGUGCAGCAAGAUGAGCAUGUACAAAUAUGUAUAAAUGUCACGAUAGUAAUAUCUCAACCAUAUAGCAGCAUUUAUCACAUUUAAUAUCACAAUAACGAUACUUGGCAAUAUAAGCAUAAUAAUGGAGUAAAUACGCAUUUAUGGAAACUAUAACUAUGUAUAGGUAUAAAAACAAACUGCCCACUCAUAAAUACACAGUAAAUAUGAAGCAUCUGAUCCUUGCUUGACCCCAUGUGCCAUCGGGAUACGUUUCCCCUAUAUGUGAAAUUACUAAUUAACUUAGUUUAAUAACACAUAUACGGAAACUUAAAUAAAACCUCCGUAGAUUACCCAAACAUAAGGUUUGAAUAUACAAAAUCGAUCUACUCGACGUUACAGACCUACACAAAUUGACCGCACGGUAACCUAAGGCCGGACACACCCCCACGUGCCGCCUAGCCCACGGCCACACGUGUGCCCACACGCAGGCCAGUGGCUAACAGAUCCGAGGAAUAUUCUAUCAUUUCUAACAGAAUAUUCCGUUAAACAAUUAACAAAAGUGAAUGACGUUACCUGACGCCGUUAGAAUAUUCCAUCAAAGUUGACGGAAUAUUCCUUGUUUUCUUCGGCGAGUUUCGCCGGUCGUCACCGUCUGGUUUCAUCGAAAUCUGGAAAUUUUAGCUGGUUUCUAGGUAAAAUUUCAAACCUUCAAAUCUUCUUCAUUUUUCAACUAUUUUUCAUAAAAUUAUAUAGAAAUGAAGCUUAUGAAGAAUAGAAUCACGUUAUACCUUUCAAACCUUUCAAAGGUCCAAAAAGUGAACAGAUGUGGCUUGAAAAUGGCUCGAAAGGUACUGCCAAACUGGAACUUCUCGAAACCUCAUGUUUUGUACAUCAACUCUUCACCAAAACUAAUCUAGGAUCUUUAAGAAGUUGAGUAGUAGCUUUCUCGAGUCCUAAAAUGCCGUGACUCGAUCUGAAAAUCGUCGAUCCAGAACUCACCGAGUCAGAGCUUCCGAGUUGGUGAGUCAAACCUCAACCAAAUCUAGAUAUGGUUACACAGUUGUGUUCGUGGGGUUGGGGUUGAGGGGAGUUCAACGAUGUAGGUUACAAGUCACGUUUAGGUGGUUUGGACGUCGGUUGAGAGAGUUGCAGAGAAAAGGUAAGAGAUAGACCUUCGGGAAGAGAGAGAGUAGAGAGAGUAAGGUUUGAGUUGUGAUUGAUGGGACAUAAAUGAGAGCAUUUCUGAUUGGUUGAGUGAGAGAGGGAAAACAAUUGAUUGGGUGGUGAUGAGGGAUUCAAGGAAAAAGCAAAAGUUUGAUUGGUGGAUGAGAUGGGGAACCCGGAUCCCUUUUUUUAGGAAUGGGAUUGGAUUGAUGGAUUUUCAGAUUUUGUACCAUUUCAAAUGUACAAAAUUUGUAUCCUUAACAGUGUUUCUAACACUGAUAUUUUGUACGAACGUGUACAAAAUACCUGUAAUUAACGUACUUUAACGGAACAUAACUUUUUCGUUACAAAUCCGAUUCAAGCCUAACAUGCGUUCACGCGUUCGUAGCGACAAGUACUAAUUUAGUACGAAACCAGGAAAAUGAAACUGAAAACCGAAAACCACAUCCACGUCAUAUUCCAGUUUUUUCCAAAAAGGGUAAAACCGUCAACUCACACCAACGGAAAAGGAAUUACAAUGAAAAGUAGGGACGGGUCGUCACAAAAUUUGUUUCAACUCGUUUAAAUUUUAAUACGUAUUUUUGUUGGUAAACAAAUGGGGCUAAACGUCAAAUAAAGAAAAACUAAAGCAAAGCAUCACAAGGUUUAGAGAUUUCAGCAACAUUAGACAAUAAGAGAUGUCGACAAGAGGCAGGAGCUUAAGUGAAAUACAUUGGACCAAAAGACUACGGCAAACUCAAGUUAGCCAACUCCUCAACCACAAAAUGCAUCUCAUCAUAAACGUGACCAACUUCACAAUUCCAUCUUUGUUUAACAGCUCAAGGCAAGCUUGCACCAACUCACCAAGAGGAUGGUUCUCACUCACACCUUGAAGAACUAAAUGGGCAAUGAGAACAAAAUCAAAUUCCUAUUUUACACGUAUUUGUUUAACAAUGAAAAAUUUUGGCUCACCGUGUGAAAAUUUUAUUAGGCUAGCUGAUAGUGUAAAAAAAUAUUGUAUGUUUCUGCAUUUAUAAAAAUUUAUAUCUUUAAGCUAGCCUACUUGGUGAAGUCUCCGCCCUUAUUCACCGUCAGGUGAUCUUUUUUGUCUAAUAAUGCAUUGUUAUGUGCAAAAUGCAUUGCCAUGUGCAAAGUAUUCUCCACAUGAUAAUGUAUUAUUAAAUCUAAACGUCACAUUAUAAUAAAUCAGUUAUAUGUAAGUUGCUUUCGAAAAUUAUACUAAUGAAGAGAUGAUCGUGCCGCAUACGCUUAGGCAUGUGGCUCUAUUAUUUGCCUAGUACUAGUCAUCAAAUUCCAGUCUAUUAGAAACCGACUUAUUUAUUUGAAAAAAAAAAAACGAAGAAGAAGGGGUUGACUGAUUUUAUUUUUUAUUUAUUUUUUGUUGACAUGCAUACUUUAUGGGGUCAUUUUGAUGGGAAAGGAUGGGAUAGUGAUGGUAGCACCUCUUCCGGGUCAAUGGUAGAGUCCACUUUACUUGGACUUCUUGAAUCGUUCAACAGGAAACGCUUUUUGGGUCAAUGCAUGGGAACGAUCCAUUUUAAAAUUGUUUGUAAAUUUCUAUAAGUAGAUAGUAAUGACCCAAUUAAAUAUUUCCCCUGCACAGAUUUACUUGCAUUGCACCUAGCAAAGAUCAGUUUUUUUGUUUGUCCAUCGAUCCAUAUCAAACAAAUCAAUCAUCAGAACCAUCAUAAAAUAUUUUGUUUUUAGAUUGUUGAAGUAAUAUUAAAAAAUAUAAAAAAAACAUAAGAAUUUUAAUAAUAAUAAUCAUAAAGAAAUUCACAACAUCAAUUAUGUAUGAGAUUAUUAUAAACAACUAAAGAGAAAGUUAGAAAAACUGACAAACUUGAAGAUUGAGGUUUCCAUAAAUACAAUGUCCUAAAGAUAGAAUUUUGCCCCUACUCUUGAUCCGAAGUUGAAGCACUUCAAUAUUUGGAUUCUGGCGAAUUUUAUAUUUUCUAUACUCUCAAGACACGACUCGAAAUUUGACAAACGAAAAAUGAGAGAAAUAAAGUGAGGAAACCCUAUUUCUCAAGAGUAAAAAUUAACUCUAAUUUUAUAUCUUUAAUGAUAAUGGUUUCAUGGGUUUAUACAGAACCCAUUGUAUUGUUUGGCGUAAAAAUGCAACUUUGCAUCUAUACAACCUACACCACUCAUCAAACUACACGUCCCAAAUUACAAAUAAUAUGAUGCAACAAUUAAGAAUAAACAAGAUUAAUUUUUUCAUUCAAUAUUUUGAAAUUAAGUAUUAUAAUAUAAAUUUUCAACAUUGACUUGACUGUUCGUCUAUCAGUAACAAGUCCACAUCUCAACCCAAAUACAAUGAUGUCAAAUGAGAAGGGAAAAUGAGAAGGAAACUCUGGAGGGUAGAGGGAAGGAAAAGGAGAGAGAAAAGGAGGAAAAGAGAAAAGGAGGAGGAAAAAGUAGAAAUAAAGAAAAACUAAAGCAAAGCAUCACAAGGUUUAGAGAUUUCAGCAAUAUUUGACAAUAAGAGAUGUCGACAAAAGGUAGAAGCUUGAGUGAAAUACAUUGGACUAAAAAAAUACGACAAACUCAAGUUCGCCAAUUCCUUAGCCAUAAAAUGCAUCUCAUCAUAAACGUGAUCAAGUUUACAAUUCCAUCUUUGUUUAACAGUUCAAGGCAAGCCUGCACCAACUCACCGAGAGGAUGGUUCUCACUCACACCUUGAAGAACUAUAUGGACAAUGAUCAAAGAACUAAAUGGACAAUGAGAACAAAAUCAAAUUCCAAUUUUACAAGUAUUUGUUUAAUAAUGAAAAUUUUUGGCUCACCAUGUGAAAAUUUUAUUAGGCUAGCUGAUAGUGUAAAAAAAUAUUGUAUGUUUAUGCAUUUAUAAAAAUUUAUAUCUUUAAGCUAGCCUACUCGGUGAAGUCUCCGCCCUUAUUCACCGUCACGCGAUCUUUUUGUCUAAUAAUGCAUUGCCAUGUGCAAAGUAUUUUCCACAUGACAAUGUAUUAUUAAAUUUAAAUGUCACGUUAUAGUAAAUCAGUUAUAUAUAAGUUGUUUUCGAGAAUUAUACUAGUGAAGAGCUGACCGUGCCGCAUACGCUUAGGCAUGUGGCUCUAUUAUUUGCCUUGUACUAGUCAUCAAAUUCCAGUCUAUUAGAAAUCGACUUAUUUAUUUGAAAAAAAAAAUUGAAAAAAAAAAUGAAGAAGAAGGGGUUGACUGAUUUUAUUUUUUAUUUAUUUUUUGUUGACAUGCAUACUUUAUGGGGUCAUUUUGAUGGGAACCUAGGAUGCGAGAGUGAUGGUAGCACCUUUUCCAGGUCAAUGGUAGAGUCCACUUCACUUGGACGUCUUGAAUCAUCCAUCAAUAACAAGUCCACAUCUCAACCCAAAGAGGAAUACGAUUGUCUGCCUUCCCAAUUUUCAUGUCCUCCUGUUUUGUGUAGUCACAGUUAAGUUACGUUAACAUUUUAUAUUAUUUUUUAUAAAGAUAAUAAGACAAAAAUGAAUAGUAAUAUAAAAUGUUGACGUGGUUUAACCGUGACCACACAAACAGGAGAGCAUGGAAGGGCAUGGAAAAAGGGAGGGCAGACAAUCCUUGUCCAAUAUAAUGAUGUCAAAGGAGAGGGGAAAAUGAGAAGGAAACUCUGGAGGGUAGAGGGAAGGAAAAAGGGAUAAGGAUUGUCUGCCUUCCCAUUUUCCAUGCCCUUCCAUGCCCUCCUGUUUUGUAUAGUCACGGUUAAGCCACGUUAACAUUUUAUAUUAUUUUUUUAUAAAGAUAAUUAUACAAAAAUGAAUAGUAAUAUAAAAUGUUGACGUGACUUAACCGUGACCACACAAACAGGAGGGCAUGGAAAAAGGGAGGGCGGACAAUCCUUGUCUAGGAAAAGGAGGGAGAAAAGGAGAAAAAUAGAAGGGAAAGGUAGAAAUAAAGAAAAACUAAAGCAAAGCAUUACAAGGUUUAGAGAUUUCAGCAACAUCUGACAAUAAGAGAUGUCGACAAGAGGUAGGAGCUUGAGUGAAAUACAUUGGACCAAAAGAAUAUGACAAACUCAAGUUAGCCAAUUCCUCAGCCACAAGAUGCAUCUCAUCAUAAACGUGACCAAGUUCACAAUUCCAUCUUUGUUUAACAGCUCAAGGUAAGCCUGCACCAACUCACCAAGAGGAUGGUUCUCACUCACACCUUGAAGAACUAUAUGGACAAUGAUCGAAGAACUAAAUGGACAGUGAGAACAAAAUCAAAUUCCAAUUUUACACGUAUUUGUUUAAUAAUGAAAAAUUUUGGCUCACCAUGUGAAAAUUUUAUUAGGCUAGCUGAUAGUGUAAAAAAAUAUUGUAUGUUUAUGCAUUUAUAAAAAUUUAUAUCUUUAAGCUAGCCUACUCGGUGAAGUCUCUGCCCUUAUUCACUGACACGUGACAUUUUUUGUCUAAUAAUGCAUUGCCAUGUGCAAAGUAUUCUCUACAUGACAAUGUAUUAUUAAAUCAAAACGUCACGUUAUAGUAAAUCAAUUAUAUGUAAGUUGUUCUCAAAAAUUAUACUAGUGAUGAGCUGAUCGUGCCGCAUACGCUUAGGCAUGUGGCUCUAUUAUUUGCCUUGUACUAGUCAUCAAAUUCCAGUCUAUUAGAAAUCGACUUAUUUAUUUGAAAAAAAAAAACGAAGAAGAAGGGGUUGACUGAUUUUAUUUUUUAUUUAUUUUUUAUUGACAUGCGUACUUUAUGGGGUCAUUUUGAUGGGAACCUAGGAUGCCAUAGUGAUGGUAGCACCUUUUCCGGUCAAUGGUAGAGUCCACUUCACUUGGACGUCUUGAAUCGUUCAACAGGAAACGCUUUUUGGGUCAAUGCAUGGGAACGGAAGAGGAUCCUCUCUUGAGCUCGAGAUGGGGAUGUUCUUGAUCACGUAAUCUGGGCCGUUCAAAUUUAAUUCAACGGUUGCAAUUAUUAUAACUUUUAGAGAACCUUCUGUUUGGAGUCGUUUGAUUAAAUUUGAAUAGUCUGAAUUUCGUGAUCAGAGGAUCCCCAUCCUGAGCUUAGGAGAGGAUCCUCUUCCCAUGGGAACUACCCAUUUUAAAAUUGUUUGCAAAUUUUCCUAUAAGUAGAUAGUAAUGACCUAAUUAAAUAGGAUCAGGAUCCUCUCCUGAGCAAAUAGAGAAGAUCCUUCUAACCGAACCCAUCGGGCUGUUCAAACUUUUUCCAACGGCUACAAUUAUUAUAACUUUUAAAGGCCCCCCAUGUUUGUAGCUGUUGGAUAAAAUUUGAACAGCUUUAUGGGCCAUGUCAGGAGGAUCCUCUCCAUUUGCUGAGGAGAGGAUCCUGAUCCAAUUAAAUAUUUCCCAUGUACAGAGAUACUUGCAUUGCACCUAGCAAAGAUCAGUUUUUUUGUUUGUCCAUCGAUCCACAUCAAACAGAUCAAUCAUCAGAACCAUCCAUCCACAUCAAUGGCUCUUAUGAUAAAAUAUUCUAUCUUUAGAUUGUUGAAGCAAUAUUAAAAAAUAUAAAAAUAACACAAGAAUUUCAAUAAUAAUAAUAAUCAUAAAAAAAAAUUCACAACAUCAAUUAUGUAUGAGAUUAUUAUAAACAACUAAAGAGAAAGUUAGAAAAACUGAUAAACUUGAAGAUCGAGGCUUGUAUAAAUACAUUGUCCUAAAGACAAAAUUUUGCCCCUACUCUUAAUCCGAAGUUGAAGCACUUCAAUAUUCAGAUUCUGACGAAUUUUAUAUUUUCUGUACUCUCAAGACACGACUCGAAAUUUGACAAACGAAAAUUGAGAGAAAUAAAGUGAGGAAACCCUAUUUCUCAAGAGUAAAAAUUAACUCUAAUUUGUAUCUUUAAUGAUAAUGGUUUCAUGGGUUUAUAUAGAACCCAUUGUGUUGUUUGGCGUAAAAAUGCAACUUUGCAUCUAUGUAACCUACACCACUCAUCAAACUACACGUCCCAAAUUACAAAUAAUAUGAUGCAAUUCUUUGUAUCAGAUGCAACACUUAAGAAUAAACAAGAUUAAUUUUUUCAUUCAAUAUUUUGAAAUUAAAUAUUAUAAUAUUUAAUAAAUAUUAUAUUAUAAAUUUUCAACAUUGACUUGACUGUUCGUCCAUCAAUAACAAGUCCACAUCUCAACCCAAAUAUAAUGAUGUCAAAGGAGAGGGGAAAAUGAGAAGGAAACUCUGGAGGGUAGAGGGAAGGAAAAGGAGGGAGAAAAGGAUAAAAGGAAGGAGAGAAAAGUAGAAAAGGAAGGAAGAAAAUGAGAGGAAAUGCAUAGAAAUAAAAAAAAUAAAAAAUGAAAAUCACCUUCAUCAUUAUGUCUACUAAUGGAAAAGAGCAAAAUGCUCCCAACUACUCUUGUUUCUUACAUUGUAAAUUAUAUUUCGUAUAAUGAGAAACUAGUAUUCUUACACAAGGAUGUAGACACAACUUGCCGAAUCUUGUUACUAUACAGCAAGCCUAUAACUGCAUAAUAAUUCGAUCAACCACCUUAAGUUUAACCAUACAUGUACCAAGAUUCAAGUUUUUCCAAACUUUCCUUAUGAAACUAAUUGAACAGUACAAGUGCCACAUUAUUAUGCGGUUCUAUCAAGUUUUAAUUUUUAUCUUAUAACCACAUUAUCUUUAGGACAAUCAAUCUUGCAGUUGAAUAUAUAAACCUUCGAGAUGGCGAUAUUGGAAACGCUAGUUGGUGGGUUGAUUGGUAGAAAUGGUUCCAACAAUUCAAGAAUAAGAAAUGAGUAUUGAGCAACGAUCAAAGUAUGUUGUAUUUUAUCACAAAAUAUUUUUGUACAUAUUAGAAGUGCAUUUUAUCACAAAAAGGUGAGCAACGAUCAAUAUAAUUGUAAUUUAUAAAAUCACACAUAAAACGGGAAGUAAUAUUUUAUUUUUGUUUUCAUCUCUGCCAAAGAAACGCUUUUUGGGUCAAUGGAUGGGGACGACCCAUUUUAUAAUUGUUUAUAAAUGGGAAUGACCCAAUUACAUAUUUCCCCUGCUCACAGACAUUUGCAUUGCACCUAGCAAACACCAGUUUUUUUGUUUGAACAUCGAUCCACUUCAAUGGCUCUUGUGAGAACAUCUCCAGGAACCUCCUCUGAUUCCAACACAUUUCGGCGUUAUCACUACGAUGUGUUCUUGAGCUUCAGAGGCGAAGAAACUCGUAAGACUUUUACGGACCACCUCUACACAGCCUUGAACAAUGCAGGAUUUCUCACGUUUCGAGACGACGAUGAACUCGAGAGAGGAGAAGACAUAAAGCCAGGACUGCAGAAAGCAAUCCAGCUGUCACGAACUUCUGUUGUCGUGUUUUCGAAAGAUUACGCGUCAUCCAGGUGGUGUCUUGAUGAGCUUAUGCUGAUCCUCGAACGAAAUAGGACCACCUCGGACUAUGUAGUUUUACCAGUCUUCUACGAUGUUGAUCCGUCCCACGUGAGGAAGCAGACAGGAAAUGUUGGAAAAGCAUUUGCUAGAAGCCAGAAAAAUCAGUCGCCGGAAAAGGUGGAAGGAUGGAGGAAGGCACUUGCAGAGAUUGCAGACCUAGCAGGCAUGGUCCUACAAAAUCAAGCUAACGGGUAACUUUCAUUUUCUUAUUUUGUCUUCUAUUUGUUGUUGUUGACCUCUCUAAUAAGAUCACAACUAGAGAUGGACAAAAUACCCACGGUUACCCGUGUUGUGCUUUGGCCCGUUCGUCAGUGCAGAAGUGAGAUUCAGAUUAUCUCACUAAACUACAGACCCACAGUUGAACAAUUUAAAUUACAAGAAAUAAAGACACUGAGAAAUUUACGAGAUUCGGCAAAAACCUGCCUAUGUCCUCGGAGAUAUAUUGCUCUUCACUAUGAGAAUAACUAGUACAAGAUACACUUGAGUUCAAUCAACAUAACCCAAACCCCAAUCCCUUGUACACUCACAGAAUUUUCCCAAGAGCCUCACUCUACCCCAAGAGUUUCUCACUCUCACUCUUUAUUUUCUCUCCUUUGUGUUCUCCUUCGGAUGCUCUCUCAAUGCAUUACUAAAUGCACAAAUAUUGCAUCUAGUUAUAGUCAUACACUAGCAACUAUGCCAACAAACAAGACCAAAAAGUCUUAAGUUCACAUGACAUAAUUAUCACCUAGCCUACCUAGCAUACACCAAAGUCUAUAUCUAGUCUAUAAAGUACAACUAUUCUCCAUUUGUCAUUUAAUGCAUAUAAAAUAAAACAUGCACAAUUGUGUGCAAGCAACCACAAAGUCAAGUCUUGCUUCCAACUUUGCUUUUGGUAGUCACCAUGUCUUCUCUUGAAACAAGACAUCCAUGCCACAACCGAAAGCCAAACACAAAGUGGCUACUGCCAUUUCCCUGUAGCACUCAGAAAGUUACACUAUCAAAAUUGUUGCCAACUCAUAAGUAUAUGAGCCAAACACAACAACCCGCCCAUUUAAACUUCACGGUUACUGUUAUGGGUAACCGUUUAGAUAAAUAAACGGUUAUGGAUAUAACCGUUUACCCGUAAAAUUUAAAUAGAUGGUUAUGAAUAUUAAUCGCGGUUAUAAAUGGGUAACCAUUUACCCAUUUAUUUUAUAUAUGUAAUGUUGAAUAUUUUAAAAAUAAAAUUUUAUAUGUAUAUGCGGCUAUUUGACAGUAGAUGGGAAGUUAUGUUAUUAACCCAACAAUCACAUCUCUUCAAUUUGAAUGUUGCAUCUUUUGAAUGUUGCCGAUAAGACAUGAUUCAUGGUCAACAAGUGUAAUCCUUCUCCUAACCAUGUUCUCUGUCGGACAAAACUUAAAUCAAUGCUAAUAUAAUGUGGCUCAUUAUAUAUAUUAUGUUAAUACUUUACAUUAUGGGUUAAAUAACCCAAGAAUACUAUCUUCUAAACAGUUUUCGUAACCCAAGAAUACUUAGCAAAUAUUAUAUUACUUUCAUUGGUAACAGUUAAAAAUAUCGUCCGUAAACUAUUAUUUCAAUUUUGAAAUGCUAUAAGGACUUAAAAAAUUAAAAUACGGAAAUGUAUGAAGAAUGUUACCUAUAACGGUGUUUAAUUGUCAAAAAAAAGAAAAUUAUGACAAUUUUUUUUUUAAUUUUCAAGUUGUUAAAAAACAUGUAGAUGGGUGAAAAUGGGUAAUGGCAAAAAAAAAAAGAGAAGAUAAACGGGUUAAAAGGGUAAAUGGGUAAACGGGUAUUAAACGGUUACAGUUAAAUAGGUAUGCGGUUAUGGGUAUGAGUAUAACCGUUUAGGCAAUUACCCAACGGAUAAACGGUUAUGCGGGUAUGAGCAUAAACGGUUAUGGGUAAAUAACCGUGGUUACCCGCCCAUCAUAACCGUUGCCGAUCACAACCAUGGAAGAAAAUAUCGAUAAUAUCGGCGAUAUAUCGCCGAUAUUAUCGGCUUUUUCCCGAACUGAUAUUUUAAAUGGUAUCCAAGGUGUUUUCGUCAUAAUAUCGCGAUAAUAUCGAUAAUAUCGCGAUAUUAUCGAUAUUAUCGCGAAAUUUCGGAACUGUGCACGUCGGAGACAAACGUCGGAGCUUCUACAGCUCCGGCCGACUGUAAAACUGCUCCCUAGCCUCGCCGGAGAUGGGUGUACUUAUUCCUGAGUCGAUUUCAUCCCAAAAACCUUGCAAAAACACGACAUAUAACUUCAAUUUCACAUCUAAGCUUCGAUCUAGAAUAUAAAAAGAAAAACCCGAAGCUUACCUACCUGAGAAAUUGAAGGAACUCGCCAGAGCAGGUGCGAUGGUGUGCGUGUGGGUCUCGGUGCAGAGAGAAGAGAGAUCUUUGUGUGAGUGUGUGUGGUUGGACUGGGAGAAGGGAGAAGAGAGAUCGAGAGAUCUCUGUGUGAGUGUGUGUGUGGUUGGACUGGGAGAAGGGAGAAGAGAGAUCGAGAAGGAUCUCUGUGUGAGUGUGUGAGUGGUUGGACUGGGCGAAGGGAGAAGAGAGAUCGAGAAGGAUCUGUGUGUCGUUGAAGAAUCCCCAACCUUUAAGAGACAAACCAGCAAGCACCUCCCUCGACCCACCUCGUUCCUCCGCCGCAAACCUACCCCGUGUCCUCAUCUAACUUCUCUCCUCUGUCAACCCACCGCCGUUCCACUAUCAACUUCACCGGUAUUCCUCCGUCGGCCCCGCUUCCGCUCCCGCUUCCGCCUCGUCCUUCAACCUCUCUCCUCCAUCGAAGUAGGUCCAUAAGAAUUCAUGAAAGGGAGGGGAUCUUUGUUCUUGGUGUAUAGUGUGACGACGCUGCACUGAUACAAAUCUGUGAUGGCAUAGGAAAAGACAAGGACGAUGCAGGAUGGAGCAGAGAGGAAGUGAAAAUGGAUUAUGGGGUGUUUGGAUGCCUAGGUAAUUGGAUAAACAGGGUGUUUGGCUGCAUAGCUUAAACAUAUAAAGUAGUACACAUGUUCUCUUUUAGUUGAGCCAUAUCAAUGGUCAAUGAAAAUUGGGUACCCACUUGUGAGUACCAAGUAUUAUCCGUGGACGGGAGACUUAAACAAACAAAACCAUUGGCUUUGAUGUUUGUAACUUGUAAUUAUGAGGUGGACAGGUAACGUGAAAGAGGUGAGGUGCACCUCUGAUGGUUUUAACUUUUAAUAAAUGUUAUAUAAAUUAUAAAUUAUAAAUUAUUUAGAUAAUAUUUUGUUUUUUUUACUAAGCAAGCAGAUUAUAUUCGAACCCUCCCUUUGUCAACCACGCACUUAGGCUUUAUCCAACUCGCUACAGAUGUGUUUGUGAUUACAUAUUCAGCCUGUAAUAUUUAUAUGGUCGUUAAGAUGUCUGCAAGGCUUGCAAGCUAAUAUUUAUUAUCUAGGAUAAAUUUCUAUAUUUUAAAAAACACAAAGGUGAAAAUUUUGAACCUCAUAGGAACUCUAUGUGGUACUAAGUCACUCAUGUAUCUUACCAUGCAAUGUAUAAAGUGUAAAAUAUUGUACUAAUUCAUUAUAUAUAAAUGAUUAUGGUGUGUUUAGACUUCUUUCAUUAAUUACUACAUAUUUUAUACACUCACAAUGUUUGUCAGCUCACUAUAUAAUCAACUUGAUAAUGUUAAAUCCAUCAUGCAAUGCAUUUCCUUCCAAUUUUUUGUGAUAAACUAAUAGAUAAUUGAUUAAAUAAACAUCCUGCAAAGUUUCAAUAAAAAUUUCCAAGUUUUUCUUACAAUUUCCUUGGUUUCCAUGUAAUUUUUAUCGAUAUCGAUAUUAUCCCGAUAUUUCCAUCGAUAUUUCCGUGUUUUCGGACUACCGAUAUUUCCGAUAUUACCAAUAUUUUCUUCCUUGAUCACAACAUAUUGAUUUACUCAACACAAAUGUUCAUAUGACUUCAGGUAAAUUGCUCCAGUAAUAAUCCCAUUUCAGGUCAAUUAAGUUGUCAUGAUCUGUACCAUGUAGCUGCAUGGAAUAGCUGUUAAGAAUUAUUGAUCGAACCUUAGUUUAAUUUUCUCCUCUGAAUUCCAUGAAUAUCAGACUUUGUAUAAUUGAUUGAUAUCGAGUGAACAACAUGUUUGAUUCAUCAUUCAUUUUAUUUGCAAAUUCUUAGGUACGAGUCAAAGUUUAUCAAAGAUAUUGUUAAAGUGAUUAGUGAUAAGCUAAGUCGCACACACUUGAGCGUUGAAUCAAAACUGGUUGGCAUCCAUUCUCGAGUCGAACCCAUCAAUUUAUGGUUACAAGAUCCAUCACAUGAUGUUGGUAUACUUGUUGUUUAUGGGCUGCCUGGAAUAGGGAAGACAACCAUUGCAAAAUGUGUUUACAAUUCAAACUUUGAAAGUUUUGAAGGAAGCAGCUAUGUUGAAAGUAUCAGAGAAACUGCAAGUCAUCCAGACGGCUUAGUUCAAAUACAAAAGCAAAUUCUUUAUGAUAUUUUAAAUGGGAAAAAGGAGAAAAUACACAAUGUUAGUGAGGGAAUAAUUAAGAUUGGAAGAGCCAUAAGCUUUAGAAGAGUUCUUCUUGUUCUUGAUGAUGUGGACCAUGUGGACCAAUUAGAUGCAGUACUGAGGAUGAAAGAUCAGUUUCAUCCUGGAAGUAAAAUAAUCAUAACAACUAGGCGUGAAAGGUUGAUAAAGGCACAUGAAGGUAUUACGGUGCAUGAAGUUGGACCUUUGGGUUUCGAUGCAUCAUUGGAGCUCUUAAGCUGGCAUGCUUUUGGCCAGGAUCAUCCCCUUGAAGGUUAUGAGAAAUAUUCUGAAGAAGUCGCACAACACAGCGGAAGACUUCCAUUAGCACUCAAAGUUUUGGGUUCUUCUCUUUUCGGGGAACCUAAGCGUGUAUGGAAAUGUACAUUGGAGAAGCUAGAGGUUAUUCCAAAUGGUGAAAUCAUGAAUAAUUAAGAAUAAUCUACGACUCUUUACAAGAUGACCAUGACCAGAAAUUAUUCCUCCAUAUUGCUUGUUUCUUUAUUGGAAAGGAUGAAGAUUACAUUGUCAGAAUACUAGAUGGAUGUGAUUUCAAGACAAUCUGUGGCAUUCAAAAUCUCAGAGAUAGGUGCUUGGUGACAAUUGUUAUGGACAAGUUGUAUAUGCAUGAUGUGAUUCGUGACAUGGGACGAGAAAUUGUUCGUCGAGAAUCACAUGAACCUGGGAAUCGUAGUAGAUUGUGGCGCUCUAAGGAUUCUUUCAAAGUAUUGAGAGAAAAAAAUGUAAGAAAUGUUCAUUGUAUGUGUGUGUUUCUUUUUCUCUUGUGCUAAUUAACCAAUUGUUUUUCCAAUUUCUUGUAUAGGGUACGCAAGCAAUUGAAGGUCUUAUGUUGGACAUACAUGAACUGCUUACAGACAGUCCCAUAAACUCAAACGAGAAUGUCUUGGAAACCAAUUCAUUUGCAAGGAUGCACAAACUCAAACUGCUCUAUCUUAGACAUGUACGACUGGACGGAUGCUAUGCAGAACUUCCGACAAGGUUAAGAUGGUUGUGCUGGCCCGAAUUUCCUUUGGAUUCAAUUCCUGUUGAUUUUUCUUUGGAGAAAUUGGUAGUUCUUGAAAUGCAAUAUGGCAACUUGAGACAACUCUGCAAAAGAGCAAACGUAUGUUACUCAACGCUUUUCAAUUUUGUUUUCCUUCUUUCUUUAGGUUUUAAUUCUUUAAUUAAUUUUAUAUGUUGGAAUCAAUUCCUAGUUAUUUUUGUUUGUUUGUUUAUUUUUAUUUGUUUCUAGUUUCUUCCAUCAUUGAAGACCCUUGAUGUCAGCCAUUCUCAUGGCCUUAGUGAAACCAUGGACUUCUCACCUUGCCCCAAUCUAGAGGAAUUGAUUCUUGUGGAUUGCACCAGCCUGAUUGAUGUUCAUGAAUCCAUUGGAAACCUGGAGAGACUCGUGUACUUGAAUAUGAAGGAUUGCAAGAAUCUUAGGAUGCUUCCGAAGAACAUGUGUUUUCUUAAAUCACUUGAAACACUCAUUUUAUCUGGCUGCUCAAAUCUUGAUGAGUUUCCAGUGGAGAUGAAGAAGAAGAUGGAGUCUCUGAAAGUUCUUAAAAUGGAUGGAAUUCCAAUAAGAGAAUUAUGGCCAGCAAGAAGUUCAAGUAUCUUGAGUUCUUUUCCAUGCUCUUUAGUAAAGUUAUGUAUGGUGGGGUGCAAUCUUUCUGAUGAUGCCUUCUGUAGGGAUUUAAGUAGUCUAUCCUCGUUGCGAACACUAAAGUUAGGUGAGAAUCCAAUUUGCUGUCUGCCAGGUUUCAUCAAAGGUUUGAGAAGGCUCGAUCAUCUAUCUUUCCAGGAUUGUAGUAGGCUCAAAUCGCUUGUGGGGUUGCCGAAAGUACACCGAAGGAUAAGUAUAGCCGGAUGCAUAUCAUUAGAAAAAAUGACUUUUCAUUCCCCUGAGCAACAGUCUACAAUGUUCAGCGUGGGUGACAACUGGAAUCUAGUUGAGUGGCAGUACGACUACAAGUUAUAUGUGGAAAUGAUCAAACUUUUGGGCGUGUGCAACUUGGGAUCCUUGCCAGCCAUUAGAAUGAACGCACUGUUCGGAUGCGGUGGUUCAAAAGAGGGUAAAUGGAGUCCCGUCCAGGUGCCUCUCUCUCUCUCUCUCUCUCUCUCUCUCUCUCUCUCUCUCUCUCUCUCUCUCUCUCUCUCUCUCUCUCUCUCUCUCUUAUAAGUCAUUAAUAUAUCAUGGGAAAGAAAUAACUGAGUAAUGUUGUGAUGAUCGUGGCAAUUACAUAGGGACUGUAUGAAAAUGGUAUAUUCAGCACGUUUUUUGUUGGGAAUAAGGUUCCAGGCCAAUUCAGCUAUAAAAGUACCAAGUCUUCGAUAUCUUUUAUUGUCCCUUUACUACUUGCUAAUCACAGAAUUCGAGGCUUGAACAUCUUUGCUACUUAUGCAAAGGAGCAGAAUUAUAAUAAUUCUUUUAAUCCAAUAAUGACUAAAGUGAGUAACAAGAGUAAGGGUCUGAAGUGGAUCUAUGGCCCAGAGUUCUAUGGAAUUCCAGGAGAGGGAGAACAUAUGAUAUGGUUGAGCCAUUGGAAGAUGGAUAAUGAAACAAUAUUACAAUGUGGAGAUGAAGUGCUUGUUUCAGUACACAUGAGACCUAGUCAGUUUCAGCUCAAGGAGUUUGGUGUCGAGCUUGUGCAAGAGCACCAAGACAAGAUGAGUACCCAACACAACACCAAAUCAGGUCCUAAUUAUCCAUUUGUUAUCGGUGGAGAUUUGGAUACGUGGAAGUGCAGACCGGGAAUAUACUUCCUUGGCAGUAGGACAAGAGAAGAUACUGACGACAUUGAUAUCCUCACCAUGGACUGUGAUGAAGAAGACACAAGUAUGUUGUGUUGUUGUAUUGCAUUGAAUUAUACUUCAUCCAAACACUUCCAAGUGUGUCCGUAUUCAUUUCAAAAACAUUUCCAAUAAGUUUUAUGUUAUUUGUAUGUUUUUCAGCCAAAGAAGGGCAAGAGAAUGAACCUGAUUACACAAUUGCAAAGACGAGGGUUGCUAGCAAAAACUGCAGUCUCGAACGCUGGAAGGUGCUCCUCACAACUGCUGGCUUCUUUUUCACGCUUGCUCUAGUAGUUCAGUCCUCCAUCUCCCAGAAACUGAAGCGACAGUAGUCCACAAGGCUUCCAUGAGUUUAUAAUUUGACUUGAUAUAGAUAUAUCUUUACAUUCCUUACUCGCAAGAUGUUUUCUACCUUCAAGUGCAAUGACGGUUCUAGAAUUCAUACAGCCGACCCCAUUUAGUAAAAUAAGACUUUAUUGUUAUUAAACUGUUUGUGCGGUAAGAACUAAGCGUGAAAAAUAUCUUGUUUUGUAGUCUCUGGUUUGAACAUUAAAGAAAAUCCAAUGCCAUUAUGUGUUUAAACCAAAAUUUUCCGUUCUCUUUUUCCUUUUCUUCAAAAAAUAAAUUUGUACUCUAAUGUCUAGGCAUGAAGAGAUUCUUAGCUAUCUCCGGGUAUAUGUCCCUCUAUUUAUUUCUCAUGGAAUACACAACCGGUUACAAGACAGAUUCUCGAAUCUCUCUCACCAUGCAUGAAAGUUCACGUCGAAUUACCAAAUCAUAUUCUGAGAGAGAAUUAAGAAUUACAUGCAGAUUAACAUUAAAUUAUAAGUUUCUAAUAACACAAAUUAUUAUUUAUACAAAAAAAAUUUACAAGAUGUGUUCAUAAUUAAUUGGUAAUUCUGAUCUUAAUUAACUAAAAGGGCCUUGAGGACAUGUCUCAAUGUAUAUGCUUGUCUGUGCAGAUCGUCUUCCUCCUCCUUUUCUUCAUCCACAAGAAAUCAAAGACAUGCCCACAAAAACCCACACACGAAAAACAAAAAAUUAAUAAAAAUAAAAGUCAGCGAGAAAAGUCAAACAAUGCAGAUCUGAUCCUACCCGCGCCACACCCGAUCAAAUCCCGAGAAAAUCAGUGGCGGACCGAGACAUGAUGGUCGCGAAUUCGUUGAAGCUAAUGACGCCGUCGCCGUUCGUGUCGGCCUCCCUCAUCAUAUCGGAGAGCUCCCGGUACGUCAAGGGGUGGCCCAUUUUGGCCAUGGAUCCGGCGAGCUCGGCGGCUGUGAUGUAGCCGUUGCCGUCGCGGUCGAACGACCGGAAGACCUCCAUGAGCUGCUCCUGGUUGAUCAAAAUCUCCUCGUUCAUGUCUGGGAGGAUGGCGGUGACGAGCUCGUCGAACUCGAUGGCACCGUUGCCGUUGGCGUCGAUGUUGGAGAGGAAAACGUGGAGCUGGUCGCCGGUGGGCUUGAGGCCGAGGGAGCGGAGGAGGGCGGCGAGUUCGAGCUGGGUGAGGCUGCCGUCGGAGUCCAUGUCGAAUCGCAUGAAGAUGUCCUUCAGCUGCUUCAGUUGAUCGGAUCCGAGCGCGGCCAUCAUUAGUAUAACGGCGGCCGAGAAGAAGAAGAAGAAGAAGAAGAAGAAGGAAGGGAUCGAGAGAUCCAGACGAUUUGAAUUUUGUGAGAUUUUGGGAGUUUAAUUUCGGGUGGAUUGGGUUUUUUGUGUGUGGCGCUGAUUGGUUUGUGUUUUUGGGUUUUUUUUCGUUUUCGUUUUUGUUUUUUGAGUUUUAAUUUUUCUUGUGUUUGGAUUAAAAGUUUAAAAACUGAAAACGCGUUUUUGCCAAGAGUUGAUCAAUUGCUACGUGGUUAUAUAUUGGGGGGGAUGCUACUUAGGGGCUGUUUGUUGAUUGACUAUAUUCAGGAGAAAUUUUCAAGUGUGUCAAGAAUAUUUUCGGUACAUUAAGUGCCAUAAUACCGUUGAUUGGAAACUUGAAAAAAAAUAUUCUUACCAAUUAUAUCAUGACACUUGAUAUAUCAGUCCGUAUUCCGGCACAAUGAAAAAUCUCUCCAUAUUUAUGACUUAAAUAUGUGUUUUUCUAUUUUGGGAAUAAUGUGUUGAUUUGGGUCUAUUUAAGUUUUGAAGUAAAUUCAACGCGCUGACAUUUGUGAGUUAAGUCAGUUGGUCAAAGUGAUGCAUUUGCUUCUAUGCACUCAAGUUUGAUCUCAAUUCCCAUAGAAGUUAAACUUAUUCUAACGCGUUUAGUCCAAUGUCAACUAAAAUAAACUUUCGAUUAUGCCGGAUUAAUUAAUUGAUUAAUUAACAACUUUUGUUUUAUUUUUAUCAAGAACAUGGCCUAGCUGUGAUGAGUGUUCAAUCAUUUUUAUUUCUUCUUUAAAAAAUGGGAUCAGCAGGUGGCUUUAUCACGAUAAUCUACUUUUUAGAGGCCGAAAAGAUUUUUAGAGUCAUUUCAGGCUCCUCUAGUUACCAUCGUGUGAUUGGAGCUAACAUAAUUAGGUGAAGAACAUUCGAGAUUCAAUGUGUAGAAUCUAUGUGAAAGUGGCAUUUUCUUAGAAUAUGCAGAGAGCUUCAAUGACAACAUAUUUACAAAGUUGACAUAGUUUGGUUGUGUAGACGCGUGACAAUAAAGACUUAUUUGACAUUUAUAAGCAUGAUGUCAUUAUAUUCGAGAUGUAUGAUAAGGUUUAAGAAUCCAAGCCUUUGAUAUAUACCAAGGGAUGCCAUAUAUAUGCAUAACCUUCUUCAACAUUUGUUCCAUUUGAAUUGCGUACAUUUUCAUCAUAAAACGAAAUGAAUGUGCCACAAUAUUUUGAUCAAUGGCUACUAAAACCCAUUUCGAUUAUACCUGUCACUCUACAUUUAUUGUCACGCGACUAAUUAUGUGACAAGAGAUGUCACGUGACUGGAAAUGCAGAGAAAUGAGGAACAUACGAAACAUGUUGCAGGUAAGUUUUUUCGCGAUUGAAUAGCUACCUAGCUUUAUGAUCAAUAGAUGACAGAGCCACCAUUUCAAUCAAGUGAUAUUGUACAAAACUAGUAUCAAAUGGAUCAUGAUUUGGUGAAUGAUGAGUUGGGGAGCAACCCAAUUCUCCCCUACCCCAAAAGCUUCCAAAUCCAAACUCUCCUCUCUGAGAAAACUCCUGCAGCACCUCCUCCACCUCCUCCAUGCAGCGCCUGCAACUAUGUCCUCCUCCUGCCUCCAUGGAUGAUCUCAUGGACUCUCCGACAACACUCGCAAAGUCAACGUCUUUACAUGUAUCCAACACUAUAAUCUCUUUUCUCCUUCUCUGUUGAAGCUUCUUCAUGGUGUACUCUCUCGUCUUUCGGAUCAACUUGCAAGGGAGCUUGUACAAGAUGAAGAUGGUGAUUUGGAGGAUCAAGCACUGGCAGCAGCACGAAAUCACAACGCAGUCUGCGGCAAUCAUGUUGCAGUCUUCCAUGGCUGCGAAAAUCGGGAGGAAAUGGGUGGUGGUGGUGUAGAAAACAGUUUAAAGAAAUCUUCAUGCCCCGGUGGUGGUGGUGUUUAAGGAAUAAGUUCCUUGCCUUUGUGGGAGGUAAUAGGAAGGGUGAAGCAAUUGGAAUGAUAUGUGGCGCUGUAUAUGAGUCAUGACUUCAAUCAUUGUCUAACAUUAAAAAAAAAAAAAAAAAAAACUCUAGCUUCCAAUAGGGGCUAUCCAAUAUAAUCGAAUUUCUUUUUUCAAACGAUAUUCUAAUUUAAUCUAAAAUACGGGAAACAAGCUCAUUCCGUUCUGCAAUAUAUUAAAAUAUUAGGAUGUGAAAGGGAAACAUAAAAGCUGUUGUUGCUUGGCUUCUACUUCUCCUUGGUGGAAGAUUUCUUUGAUAGCUUUAAGCAUUUCCAUAGAAGGUGUCACGGAGCUGUCUUUCAAAGAAAGUUCUCUCCCCCCUCUUGGAAGACUUGCAAAUUUAUAUAUCUGCAAACCCAGUUUACCCCAAAUAUUUUAGCACGUGACGAGUGAGACACUUGUAAGAAUAUAUCCCGGGGUAUACUCAAGAUUUCCGUGUUUCUGAGGAUGAUGGGGCGGCCUGCAGGCUGAUUUAACAAGCUCGAAAUAGAGGGGUACGUAUUUUCGAUCUGAGAUUGUCACAUAUAAAUCACAAAACAUGGAGUUGUGAAAGAGGGGAAGCAAAAGAGGGAAGAAUAGGAUCCAUGGUUAACAAAAUUGAAUUAUUACCUUUAUAACACCACCAAAAAUAUUGGUGGAUGCAACAAGAUCAUCAUACAUAGGCUAAGUAAUUACAGGGGCAAAAAAUGGCGGUCCAUAAACGUAUAAUAUAGGCGGAAGCUAAAAAUGGACCUUCACAGGAACGAUGGAACGAUCUAUACAUCCGCUGCAGUCAGUUCCAGUUGCAGAAAGAUCAGGUCCCAGCUGAGCCAAUCCAAAUCUAGCUCAAUCUGGCAAAACCCCUUUCAGCUAAGUGUUUAACUCUCCGAAUGUGUACUAUACCUCUUCGCUGAAAAAAUCUGUACUGUAAUUUUGACUACCAAAUGCCAUUCUCCGGAACAACCUAAUUUCAGCUGAUUGUUGUGCCGAGUCAAAUGCCUCACUUUCCCCCACUCUCAUUCCGUUGUUUAUAUCGGAAGCAACAAAACUAUCAAAAGCUCUAACAACCUGAGGAGAGUGAGAAUGAUGAUGUUAGCUUAAGCUGGUGAAGUGAAUGAAUUCACAUUAUAAAAAAAUUUCAGCUUCUUAUUACCUGUCCCAUUCGUGGUCUCUUAGCAGAUGAAUGUCGCACACAAGCAGCAGCAAUCUCGAUCAUUCUGAACAUUUCAGUAUCCACAUAAUUCUUUUCGAGCCUUGGAUCUACCACGCCGUCAAAAUCUUCAUUAUCAAGAGCAUAACUCAACAACGGCCGAGCCUGGAUGGUAAAAUGCGUCUCUUGUCAGGAAAGCUUGGGUUUGACCUUAGAACAUUCAGUUGGUUAACUAUACAGUUUUAUUUCAUUCAAUAAACAUAUUGUCAAUUUGUUACAUAUAUGUCUCCUAUGUACAGUCUCACAUCUUUAUUAUGCAUUUAUCUACGUACUUUUGAAAAAAUUGAAAUGAAUUCACAACUAAGGCGAGACUAAAUUGUGCCCGCUGAAUCCAGACAAAUAUUGACAGCAUAAUCAGAGAGUGAAAAAGAUUUCAUGCAUUGAGAUUUCUUUCUGUAAGACGGUUCUGGAGUUUCAAUGCAUUCCUUGUUUAAAAACUAUAGGGCCAGAAGAUCUCACUCAAUAAAUUGGGGACUUCAAAAUAUUCAACCGAAAAUAUCAAAACAUUAUUAUCGAAUUGAAGCAAAGUAAUAUAAACGCUGCAGCAUGAUAUGUCCAGUAUGAAAAGAGGAUGUAAGUUUACCCAUUCAACUAGACUCUCAUCUCCCAAGGGUUGGGAUGUAUCUACAGGCUUCCGUCCAGUGAUCAACUCAAGAAGCACAACUCCAUAAGAGUAAACAUCAGACUUCUCAGUCAAUUUCCCACUUGAUGCAUAUUCAGGAGCCACGUAUCUGAAAAUCAAGCGGAAUCAAUACAUUAUCAGGCAUGAAAGGUAUGUUUGUGAUGACAGUAUAAAUUAAAAUAUAGAAGAAACCUCAAGAAUAGCUUUGAUACAAGUAGAAAGCAUAUGGGCCAACACUAGAUUGCUGACGUACCCAAACGUUCCCAUCACACGUGUGCUUAUAUGCGUAUUUGCAUCAAGCGCUAAUUUGGCAAGUCCAAAAUCUGAAACCUGUAAAGUAAAGAAGGAAACCAUGAGCUACAACCUAACCAAAAUAUAGGAGUACUGAAAUGUGCUCUGAGUGAAAUCAUGCUAUACCCGAGCUUCAAAGUUGUUAUCUAAAAGAAUGUUUGACGACUUUAUAUCCCUGUGAAUAAUUCGAGGAUGACCUGACAUUAAACAAAUAAAACCAAACUUGGUCAACAAAACACUUCCAGUUAAAUUAUGUAACCGAUAAAACAAUUGUACGAGGAUAUAGUAACCCAAACAUUCAGCUAUCAGAAUCCAGAAACUCAGGGUAGAUAAUUACAAUCUUCAUGAAGAUAAGCGAUCCCACGAGCUGCACCAGCAGCAACCUUAACACGUGUCGCCCAGUCCAGAACUGGCCUACCUUCUCCUGAAAAUUGCAAGGUGCAAAACAUGAGAUUACGGAACCAUUAUCACUAACUGUUACUUAAAAGCUCUGUUAUAGAUAUACCAUGAAGAUGAAAAUAAAGGCUAUCGUUAGCAACAUAUUCAUAGACGAGCAGCCUUCGAUUAUCAGAGAUGCAGUACCCAACCAGAGAAACCAAAUGGCGGUGAUGUAUGCGACUAAUAAUCUCAACUUCAGCCUUGAAUUCUCGCUCACCCUGACCCCCUCCAAUUUUUAGUUGUUUUACUGCCACCUCUCUCCCAUCUGGUAGGCAUCCCUUAUAAACACAACCAAAUCCGCCUUCGCCCAAAAGAUUCUGAGAUGAAAAACCAUUUGUGGCCUUAGCUAGUUCUUCAAAAGUAAACCAUGGUCUUGAAUUUCCAACUCCUGCUUGUUCUGGUGGAGGACUCAUGAACUCACUGCCAGAACGGCUUCCAACAAGGGGAGCUGAAGAAUGUGCCUUCAAGAAGGAUGAAUCUGGAAACAAGUUACAAAAGCCUUCUUAAAUACAACGGCUUAUAUGAGCUGAUUAAUUUAUCCCAUACCCUGAUCUGAGUGAGGCUAAAUAUACUCUUAAAAUAGUAUGUUGAACUUAUUGAAAUUUAGAAAUAUCAUUAAACAGAAAAUCCCACAUUCAUAAUAACAAAACAAGGAAUCAACUGCGUUAUGUAUGAUUGAAGGUACCUGAUCGUGGAGAAGAAUCCAUAGUGGAUUGCAUAGCAUAACCUUCAAACCCGGAUACUUUUUUCUUUUGCCUCCUCAUGCACCAUACAAUCAACCCAACGAGACUAAGCACUACUGCCCCUACCACUACUCCAAUCGCCACUAUGCCUCCGGUACCAAUGCCGUUGGAAUUUGAACUUUGUGGUGCAUUCGGACUGGAAGUGUUUGUUAGUGGACUUGGAAUUUGAGAAUGAACUGGUGGAGAAGCCUGUGAGGGGGGAGGUGGUGACAUUCUUAUGAUGGGUGGUGGAGGUGAAGGGGUUGGUUGAGAACCAGGUGGGGCUGGAGUAGUACGGCUAGGAGGCGGGGGUGCUUUUCUGGGAGGUAUUGAUGCUGGUGGAGGAGAUGAACUUUCAGGGGGGGUUGAUGCUGGUGGUGGAGGUGAACUUUCACGGGGGGUUGAUGCUGGUGGUGGAGGUGAACUUUCACGGGGGGUUGAUGCUGGUGGUGGAGGUGAACUUAUGGGUGGCACAAUUGCUGGAGGUGGGGGUGAAUUCGGUGGUGGGUCUGAUGGUGACGGUCGUGGUGAAGUUUUGGGGGGACUUGAUGGAGGUGGAGGAGACUUCUCAGGUGGCGGUGAAGUUUCAGGCGGCUUUGAAGAGG